UGUAAUUCUCCUGUUGUAGCUGUUUGGGAAAUUGGAGGGAGAAUAACAAUAAUGAUUUCAUGUUUUGUCCUGUUGUUAGUUGAGGCUUUUGGCUAACAUUCUUAAAGGCAACAGAUUUUUUGUUGGUAUAGUUUAUCAGUUUCUGCAUAUUUAUAUUGUAUCUCCAAAAUAUGCCACAAGUCCUUGGAGCCCAUGAGAUUCGAGGGAUUUUGAGAAUUCGUAUGGGAUUAUUGUAUUUGUUCAAUUAUCUCAAUCUGGUAAACUUUUGUUUCUAAUACAGUUGGUGGAGACUAAAAAAUGGAGAGACUUAUAAUGGUCAUUUGGUGAAUUGUGAUACUUGGAUGAAUAUCCAUCUUCGUGAAGUUAUCUGUACGUCAAAGGUAAUUCAUUGUUUUUUAAUAUGUUAUUGCUAGGUUUUCAAAUGUAUUGGUGCAUGACCACCUGAUUUUUGAAAAAUUAAUGCAGGAUGGAGAUAGGUUUUGGAGAAUGCCUGAAUGUUAUAUUCGUGGCAAUACCAUUAAGUAUCUUAGAGUUCCUGACGAGGUUAGUUUAUUUUCUUAAUUACUAUGAUUAAUAAUGCUUUCGUGUAGUAUUAUUUGUUUUUCACUUGCAACAUAGUGUGUAUGGCAUGUUUGGACCUUGUACUAAGGGAACAGAAGAUGGGUGCCUAUUUUGUAGUAGUUAUUUGUAUUAUUAAAUGGUUGCUUUGCAGGGGUGACUGUAAAAUUUGUAUACUAGUUGUGGAAUGGAGGUUUCUACUUAAGUACCUAGGACUAAACUACUUGCUUUAGUGUUAUCACUCAACAUGACAACGAGUUUGAAAAAUCUCUAGUUUUCAUAGAGAGUACACGUUAAUAUACACAAUAAUAUUUUUUUACACACCUCCUAACGUACAGGCCUGAAUUCUUUUUUCCUUGCCAAGCACACAGAAGUUAUUUUCUGAUAUUGGGUGGGUUGAGAAUUGCACCAUGUUGAGAUGUGAAAUGUGUGAUCAUCUGAUGUAAAAGCUUAAGUUGUUAGGGAGGACACAUUUUAAUUUACUUAAUAACAUCUUGUACAGAAAACGGAGGACAGUCCAUUUACACCUUUAUGGUGGUGCAUUGUAGGUUUGGUUUGAUGUAGGUAGGUGGAAUCAAGAUACUAGCUAAUCUUGGUGUGACCAAACUUAUGGAUAUACUUGUCUGGUUACUCACUCAAUGGGGCUUUUAGGGGUGGGUUUCAGUUGUGCUGUUGUAGGCUGAAGUUAUGUUACUAGCUAAUCUGUGGUGUCUGGGCCUAUGGGGCUAAACUUACCUUGACAUACUUGGAAUCAGAGCAGGAAAGAAUAGAGAACCGGGUAGAAAAGUUAAAAGAGGUAUUAGCAGUAACACAUGUCUGAGCAAUAAUGCAGGGAACUGAAGGUUGAUCUUACAACACAACUCUGAUGUUCCUAAAGGCUAAAUAUAAAUGCAUCCAAUAUUCUUGUUGCCUCUUUUCUACUGAUAAAAUAGAUUUCUUGAAAUGAAAUCAUUGCUGUGGUUGGAACAUUAGUGUUUUAGACUUUGAACAUAGUGUUCUUCUCAAAUAAGAUGUGUAGCCUUCCGAGGGCCUGUGCACCCCCGGGAUUAGUCGGGGCUCAAAGAGACUCGGACACCCGGUGCAAAUCAAAAAUAAAAUAAAAAUAAGAUGUGUAGCCAAGUGGUUUUCAUAUAAGAUUCAGAAGUUAGAUAAUUCUUAGUUCUUAAGUAAUUAUUUUCCAAUAGUACUGGCUUAUUUUAUAUCAGAUAUCCUAUACUAAAAAAAAUAUAAAAUGUUAGACAUCACAAGGUUGAACCACUAUUGAUGUUGUUCUUUCUUGCAUGCCUGUAGUCCACUGUAUGUUCAUUUCCCCGUGACUGUGAGUAGAACAUUCCUGUAAGAGGAGAAUUGAUUACGCUGAUGUGAUGCAAUUUAGCCAAAUCAGACAUUGUUGUGCUCCCUAUGGACCAUGAAUCUGACACCUUAGGUAGGAGUGCGACUCUAUGAAGAUGGCAAUGAGAGAUUGUUUUAGCAAUGACGAGCUUCCAUGUGAAAUCUAACGUUUGCAGUUUUGACUAAAUAAAGCGGCUGCGCCUGCUUUCUGCUUUUAUUUUCUUCUUAGAGCGUAUUAUACACUCUUCCACCCUGUUUUUUUUAUAGCUCAUGACAGGCACAUAUGGGAAGUUAUCCUAGCUUCUCUCGUCCAUUCGCCUUCCACACAUUCAUAGUUGAUUCAGGAAUGACCUUUGAGUUUUGGAAGUUAUCCUUUUGUUGAUCUUUUAGGAGUGCCAGGAACCAUCGUUUCCCAGUGUUUGCUUCCUCUGUUAGAUGCUUUUCUUUUUGUUUGUGUGGGCUUUCAGUACUAGCUAGGAAGGCAGAUGAUGUUUGAAUAUAGCUGUUAUCCUAAUUUUCUUUACUUCUCCUUUGUUUGGACACAUGGGGGAUGGGGAGUUCGAAAAGGAGAGGUAGGUGAGAAGAGUUUUCAUGGGCAGCUCACAUUUUCUUUUAAAAAGUCAUAAUGUUAACAGAUAGAAGUAGCUGUAAAAUGAAAACCCCCUAUAUCCUUUCAGAUGUAAAUGCCAGAUUUACACUUUCACUUCUAUAAAAAUGGAAAAGAAUGCAGAUUGCCUGUUCUUUUAUACAUGGAAUAACUUUAGUAUUGCAACAUUAUUUUACUGAGAGGCUAAGCUUUGUAGAUAUUCUUGAUUAUAUAUAUUUUAAAAUAUGGACAUACCUACUUGUGUUUAUUGGUUUGAAUAGUGCAUUUUUAUCACCGGGGUUGAAGACUGAGUUUGCAGUAGUUUAUAAAUUCUGGAAGCUUAGUCUGCCCUUGGCUCUUCAUUUGACCAAGUUAAUAAUCCCUCUUACUGCUGUUUGGUUAACUAUGCUAUACUUUUCCAGGUGAUUGAUAAAGUUCAAGAAGAAACAAAAAGCCGUGGAGGUACUACUUUGGACUAUUAACUAUCAGGAAUUGUUAUAACUAACUUCUAAUUAGCUAUUGGAUCAGUGUGGGGUUUGUUGAUUUUACAAAUACUGCCCUACUAGCCUAGAAUCAGUGUCUGAGCAUUCAGCUUAAUUAGUAUAUUUUUAAAUCCUUUUGCAGAUAGAAAACCACCUGGUGUCGGUGGACGAGGAAGGGGAAGAGGAGGUAGGGAUGAAGGUGCUGCUGGAAGACAGGCGAAAGGCAUUGGGCGUGGAAUGGAAGAUGCAGGUGCCAAAGGCCGGGGCAAAGGAGGACCUGGUGCCAAGUCUGGUGGAAAAGGUAUGAAGUGUUCAAUAUGCAAGUUAUAAUGUAAUUUUAUUCUCGUUCUGCUAAAGCUUAUGUAUCCCCGAGUCUCAAUCCGCAGCGACCAUGUUCAACACUUGAAAUUAGUCUCCAUACAGCAAGUCUCUAUGUUGUAACAGUCCUCAAGUAUAUUUGUGAACGCAAUAUUUAUAUAGCCAUUUGCUAAUCAGAAGAUUCUGGAUGUGGUAUUUAUUGUACAGGUGGUGGCCGUGGACGUGGCUAAUCGUCGUCAUUUAGAGACAAAGAAGCCAGAUGACAAUCUAGAUAUUAUUGUAUCUUAAUUUUGUUUGUACUUUCAAAUUAUAAAGCAACUUACCGGAGAAAAGGCCUGCUUCCAGUUAUUAUUAUUUUAAGAUGAAUGUAUGUAGGCUUGAAAUGCUCACUCUCUUUCCUUUCUGAUGACAUGUAAGAGUUCGUGUCUUGAAAAUAUUUGGCUCCUCAGUAUGUGUGUUAUUUUAAAUGAAAACUUAGCUAGCUUUCUUUACCCAAUCCAAGAAGCUGGAUUUCUAGUGAAAGACGCCUUUCACUUUAUACUUAGAAUGUUAAAUAACACGAGUAAAUAUUUCUGUACUUAAGAUUAGGGAGGCAAACAUUUGGUUUUAUCUAUUAAUUUCCAAAAGAUGUGACUAUUGCUUCUUUAUUUGUAGGUUUCAAGUAAUGCCAUAUUUGGAUGAGUUCUCAUUGAAAAUAUGAUUACACUUAGAUACAUGUAUAUUUGCUAUGAGAGAGGCAAGUGAGAUAGGUGAGGGAGGUCAACGAGAUUCGUAUGUAUUUCAAAUACAAGCGAAUCACACUAGAUACAUGUAUUUGUAGAGUGAGAGAAUUGUAAUGUACUUAAAUACAUGUGAAUUCACUUGGAUACAAUGUAUACGAAAGGAGUACCUUUUUCUGUAUUUUCUUUUAUAAUUCCUGUUUGUUUGAGGUUUGACGAAAGAAAACUUAUCCAAUAAUUGAAGCCACUUCAAGGCAGUCACGUAUUCUUUAGUAUAAAAACAAACUAAUUAUGGGAUGCAGACAAAAUGUUGCUAUAUAAAAAUUAAAUAUCAUUUUGUGUUAAGACAUAUUUCUCUCCUCAUCAUCAGCUGUUAGUGUAGUUGAUGGCUGGCAUCAAAAUAGAUAUGGAGCAUGUGAUAGUUGAAUCUCAAGAAAUGGAGAAAGAAGAAGAAGAAGAAGAAGUAAAGCCUCAAAAGACAAAGCGAGUUGCUUCCCUUGAUAUUUUCAGAGGCCUCACUGUUGCAGUAAGUUUGACCAUCUUUCUCUUCUUAUGGACCUUUCCUUCUCCUACUUGGCGAAGAUUGGAACAAUGGGAUUAUAAUUCUACUUGGACAAUGAAAAUCUCAUAGAUUCAUCAGAUCAGGUAAUGACCUGGAUUCUUUAAACAGAAGAAAUUGUGUCACUAUCCAAUACUUACUAAAAUUUAGAAACUACUUCAAAUGGAUAAAUGAAGAAAGUUGUUUUACCCCUUUUAGUGAAAGGGGAAUAUCAUUUGGUGUUUGAUUGUUAGAAAAUGACUUAUUUUCUGGAAAAUGUUUUCCUCUGUACCACCCUUAGUAGUUACCUUGCUGUGGAAUGUUGGAAGGUGUCUUGAGAUCUGGAGAAAAGAAAAUAGUUGACACACAGAAGUUUAGGGACAAAUUUAGAAUUUUGUUUUGUUUUUCUGAAUACUUGUAGUUUUGGGAAACAAUACCUUGAUAAUUUUAUGAAUGUUAUGCUUGUAGAUCUUAAGGGUAUGAAACUUCUGAAGUCUGUCUUCGUUUCUAACCUUCUUGGCAAGCUGUUGACCAGUAAGGAGUUGAAGAUUUCACUAGAAAAAGUAUUCAUGCUAUAACAUGAUUGAUUUUGUAUCCUUUUUAUUAUUUUAAAGAAAGGAGAUUGAUUUCUGUAUCAUAUUUGUCUUGUCCCCUAAUGAAACCUGGCAAAUUAUAGAGUUUAUCUUCCUGAAUGAAUUUAAAUCAUUAUCUUUAUUUAAUUACCUCUUGUAUAAUCUUAAGAAUUCAUCUCCUUAGUCUCGUGAUUUGCUUGGACUAGAUUAUAGUAACCUGCUUAGUACAUUGGGAUGUUCACUAAUUCAGACAUCGAAUUUGUUGCCUUUAAAACUUCCUGACAGAAAAAGGUUUAUCGAAUUUGUAGCUGAUGGUCUUGGUUGAUGAUGCGGGAGGAGAAUGGCCUAUGAUCGGGCAUGCGCCAUGGAACGGUUGCAAUCUUGCAGAUUUUGUGAUGCCAUUCUUUCUGUUUAUUGUGGGAAUGGCCAUAGCACUUGCAUUAAAGGUUAGCUUCGCAUUCUUUUUUCUUCUUCCCAUCCUUAAGAGGAUAAAGUAGGGUAAUUGUUCCUACUCAUUGGUGCUUAACUACUUAUUGUGUAGAGAAUACCAGAAAAGCUAGUGGCCAUCAGAAAGGUGAUUCUAAGGACACUCAAACUUCUAUUUUGGGGCCUCCUUUUACAAGGUCAGUUAUCUUUCUUUCCUUCCUUUUAUGUUAUUCUUCCCUUCAUGUUUCCAUGCAAGAUGCAUUCUAUUCAUAUCCAAUAUAUCAUAGAAAAUCUAGGAGGAGUGUUGGACUUACAGUGUCUACAAGCUUCUGAAAUAAGGAAGUAGCCUUUUUUCCCCUUUAUCUGGUGACGUUUCACAGUUCGUUAAUGCUAUUGACUGAAUGCAUAAUGUGUUGCAAAUCUAAAAAAGUAAUUUAGGUUGUCUUCAGUGGAUAACAUCCAUAGUAAUUAGUUGAUGUUGUGCUUUAGAAGUUGAUGAAUAGCUCUGUAGGACUUAAACAUAUAUUUUUUUUAUUUUUUUUUUGGUAACCUGCAUAUUUCAUUCAUAACCAAAAUUGUUUCUUUACAAAACAAAGUAGUAUUGGACUAACUACUCGCUCAUAAUACAAACAAAAUCUACUAACCUAUAGCCUUCUAGACAAUACAACCUGAAUAGAUCAGCAAUUCAAUACUAUAUAUAGCUAAACCAAAACUAAGGGUAGACAUUGAGUUGUUGAAGUGCAUUCUUCCAUUUCGCCCUGGUCUGACUCUUGAUAUGCAUAUGCAUUACAAUUUCCUUCAAAACUUCAUAUAUUGGAUCUCCUAAAGUAGUCACACGUAUUAUCCUUAGGGGAUUAUUGUUUUAUUAGCCCUUUCUCUGUGAUUCUGCCAACCUUUGUGAUUUUAAUAAGUUGUAACUACGUUUUAGCUCUAAUGAAUCUACAGACCCUUUCUCCUUUCUAAUGGACACCUAUCCCAGAACGAAUGAUCAGUAAUGACAUCUACUGAUUAGCUUUCCUUUAGGAAACAGAAUUAUGUUUGGCUUCAGAUAGAAACUUUCAACCAAGUGGGAAUCCAUUUGUUAAACCUGGUCUUGCAUCUCAUCUUUCCUCUUCCCAAAGUUAUUAGAAGUCUAACCUCAUCCUUUCAAUUGUGAAGGGGGUUAUUUCCAUGAUCUUGACAAGCUAAAAUAUGGUGUUGACAUGAAUAUGAUAAGGUUGUGUGGCAUCCUUCAGGUAACAGUUUCUAAUCCCACCCCCCUUUCUGUCUCUCUUUUGAAUGCUAAUAUCUUGUGUUGGUGAUAAUUCUUCUGCUUCUUAUCUUUGUAGAGAAUUGCUCUCGCUUACUUAAUUGUGGCCAUAAUAGAAAUAACAACAAGACAAGCCCAAUCCAAAGAACUACCAACGGGAUGGUUCUCUAUUUUCAAGUUAUACAGCUGGCAAUGGUGAGUAUUAUUUUGGUGUUUCUAAAGUGGUGAUAGCAUUAAGGAUCUCCAAGUUAGUACUGAACAUUUCUUCAUGAUUUCAGGGUUAUUGGAGCAUGCGUUUUAGUAGUUUACUUGGCCACAUUAUACGGAACAUAUGUUCCUGACUGGAAUUUUGUUGUCCAGAACCCGGACAGUGUUGAUUUUGGAAAGACUUUAACCGUGAGUUUCCCUCGUCCAUGUUCCAAAGUUACCUUUAAUAUUUCUAUAUUUAAAGUCAAAAGAUUUUGCUUUUGGUAUUAGGUAACUUGCAAUGUGAGAGGAAAUCUUGAUCCUCCUUGCAAUGCAGUGGGUUAUAUUGACAGACAGAUACUUGGAAUCAAUCACAUGUAUCCACGUCCAGCUUGGAAGAGAUCCAAGGUGAUUGGUUCUUCACAAAAAUUAUAUCUUCCCUCUAUUGUUGUUCUUUGUGAUUUGCCAUCUCCAUUAUCACCGGAUUAAGUUCAUCUGUAACACCUUUGAUGGAUCUUUAUUCUACAGUCUUGCACUAAAAAUUCUCCAUAUGAGGGACCUUUCAAGGAUGAUGCUCCAUCAUGGUGUUGGGCUCCUUUUGAACCUGAAGGAAUUCUGAGGUAGGAUUCGUAUCAUCAAUUCUCUCUUUUCGUCAAAGUCUUGUGUGCUCGUAUCAUCAAUACAAUCUUUAUCUUCGGAUUUCUAGUUGCUUGAUUAAUAAAAGUUUUUAAAGUCUAAUACCUUUUAUGCUACUUACCAAUGUUCAAUUUUCCCUGUCUGGUAAAUUCUUCUACUUAUGACUACAGCUCAAUUUCUGCUAUUCUCUCUACGGUCCUUGGAGUUCAUUUUGGGCAUGUUCUUAUUCAUAUGAAGGUUAAGUCAAAAUCUUCUAGACUUGACCGUCUCACCAAAUUAAAGCAAAGUUACUGAUAUAUUCCAAUUUUUGUAACUCCAGGAUCACUCGUCCAGACUUUUGCAUUGGAUUGGCAUGGGCAUAGCUCUUUUUAGUUUUAGGUAAUUAUUCUCCACUUCACAGAUGGUAAAAUUCGCAGUUUAUGAAAUGCACUCGAAAGCUGGAUAUAUCUUCUUUUCUCUUCCUCAUUUUUCCUUCGAUGGUGCUGAAUGCAGCUAUUCCUUUAAAUAAGCAAUUAUACACCUUCAGCUAUGUCUGUGUAACCUCAGGAGCAGCCGCGUUAGUGUUCUCUGCUUUCUACAUUCUGGUACAGUAGUCUUGUCCAAAAAUCUGGUCACUUCUAUUAUAUGUUCCUUGCUACAAACAUUAGAUUUGGAAGUUCUAGACUUUUACGAUUAAAUCACACUUCCCUCUGAAAUGCAAGGUCAUUCAUUAGAAACAAAAAUCUCAAGGUUCAAGUUGAUGGAAAAUGUUCCAAGUUUUAUGUUUUCAUCAAUCAGUACCGGAUGAUAUAGAGCAGGAGAAUGUGUAGCUGAGACUUUACAGAAUGAGUAUUUUUAACAAGAAAAGCUUAGAAUGACAACAUUCUGAUGUGUCAUCACCGUAGCAAGAUUCACAAACUUCUAAUCCUGAUCCUUUCCUUUUGGUCCUUUUGGAAUGCAGGUUGACAUUUUGAACUUGAAGUAUAUAUUUCUUCCACUAGAAUGGAUUGGUAUGAAUGCGAUGCUUGUUUAUGUAAUGGCCGCCGCAGGAAUAUUUGCAGGUUUCAUCAAUGGCUGGUAUUACGAGGACCCUCAUAACACACUGGUAUUUCAUUCAUCUCUUCCUCACUUUGAUAUGAUGCAGUCCAUUGUAUACAAAUAGUCAGAGGCGGAUUCAGGAUUUGAACAUCAUGGGCUCGAGUUUGAAAUUCUACCACAACAGAUAGGUUACUGGGUUCGAAAUUUGUACUUACAUGGUGAAUUUCUUAGCACAGACAAAGUUACUUAUGCAGUACAUCUGCCUCUAGCCAUCUGCUUUCUGCAGCCAGUUGUCAAAACUUAAAUAGGCCAUACGACAAUUGUUGCUUCUGGUUUUGCUUACAAUCUUUGACAGAUAGGAUCGAAAAUAAGAAGUGAACUCAGUUCAAUGUUUUCUCCUGUACGAGUUCAUAGUUGUGCAAGUAAACUGAUUGAACUUACUCAACAUUUGCAGAUAUAUUGGAUCAAAAAGCACAUCUUCAUUGGAGUGUGGCAUUCAACAAGAGUGGGAACACUUCUUUAUGUCAUCUUUGCUGAGAUAUUGUUUUGGGCUAUUGUUGCUGGCCUACUUCAUCGAUUAGGCGUAUACUGGAAGCUUUAGUUCUGAUGAAAUUUGCUCUUUUGCUUGAUUGUUAUUUUAAGAUAAGAUAUAGCAUUGUAUGUACUUGAAACUAGAAAAAGCUUCAGCUAGACAUGGAUCUCAGUUUGAUUUCUCUCUUUGUUAUGUUUUGUGUUAAAUUUUUGGUAGAAAGUUGUAAUAUUGAAGUUAGAGUAGUUUUUUUUCAGUAUUCUGUUUAGCGAAUCUUUCUUGGAUGAUUGGCGCUUGUUGAUGAUUCCGCUUUUGUUUUACGAUAAUGGAAUUUUGCGCAGUUUUCUGUUUAUUUGAUGUUUGAUCUGAAGCUGUCAAUACGAUCUGGUUGAUUUGUGACUGAUGUUACUGACUAUGUGGUCUGCAUAAAGGCCCUAAACUAUUAAGGCGGUGCUGUCUCUUUUUUCUUUUUUAUUGGGAAUUUAGGAACUAGAUCUACUAAUCUGGCUCUUAGAUUUUAACACCGUCUUGUAGAGGAUUUGAUCUCAAUGUUUUUGACCUUGCUUUAUGAUCUAAUAUUGUAUAUUAGAGCCAUAUAUGAGUAAUUUGGAUCUGAAAAGUCUUGAUAUAGGUUGCUUCUAGUUUAGCUAGACUUGUGCCUCAUGUUAUUUAGGAAAUCCUAGUUUUAUGUAUCUGGAUACUGCAAAUUUAUGUAACCAACAAAAAAAGAUGUAUGUUUUGCAAGUCCCAAAAGUUGGAGGUCUCAAGUUCGAAAUCACUUGCCAGCGGGUUUGCCUUCUGGGUCGACCUCGCACUUGCCUAGGUCUUAAUUUUGAGCAUUUUUUGUAUGAUUAUAUUGUCAAUAGGUGCUAUUACUUUGUCUGUUUUGUUUUGUUUUUGUUGAUUGGAUUUAUUAGGUUUAGAUAGUUGUAAGUAGUAUAGGUGUAGAGAUCUAGCAUUUGCUCAUUUUGCCUAGUCGUGAAUGUCUGCUUAUACUAGUAAUUGAUUGGAUUUGUUGACUUGAUUCAUAAAAUUAUAAUGUUACUGCUAGUUUCCGUAAAAAGAUAUGGUAUCUCUUGAUUUUGCCUUUGCUCAUUCAUUGUUGUGAAUAUUUGCUCUAACGGAUUAGUUCCUUUUAGUGAAUGUCUAAUUAAGAUUUGUUGAUUAGAUUUGAUACAUCCCUUCCCUCUCGGAUACAUCCCUCCCCUACAUAUCCAAAUGUCGUAUCCCAUCUCUUAUAUAUCCCUCCUCUGUUGAAUACGUCCCUCUCCUAUGUAUUCGGAAGUCCAAUGAUGUAUCCGAAAGUCCAUAAAUUUUAAGGGAUUUUUGUAAUUUAGAAAAGAGUAGAAAAAUAAUGUAAUUAGGUCUUGUGAGAUUUAUGUAAAUUAUAUUUUUUUAUUUUCCAACUUUUGGGCCAUAAUGCUCAAAAACUCAAGUCCAACAUCCAUUACAGGCACAAUCUCAAAUCAUCUUAUAUCGUAGUUCUACACACGAGCUGAAAGGUUCUCUUUUUUUGCUUCUCCCUCAAUUGACAUGGGAACACGAGAGGUAUACGAAGAAAAACUGAAGAGAGGGAAUCUCCAUCAUGAUCCUACAAUCAAACCUGGCCUCGGCUGUGCUAGAUGUCCUCGUUGUCUUUCUCUCUUGAACUCCAAUUCAGUAUGUAUCAUAUUCUAGUCGGUUUUUUUUUUUGUGUUUUUGUAAUUGUCCACAUCUUGCCUAGUACAUGCUUGAUGAAAUGCCUAGCUAGUAAUUUGUGCUGUUUCUGUUUGAUUUCAGUUGCAGAAAAGUGGAGAAUGGGUGAUUACUCCUGUUCUACAUGAUUUCACGGCUGUGGUUAGUAUGCUAUAUUACAUGUUUCGAAUGGUAUUUGAACUGCAAGAUCGAACUAGCCAAAUCUGUUGUUAUGAUUAAAAUUUACCUAAGUAGUCACAAAUUUUAAGAUUGAAUGGUGUUGGUAUUUGUGAUCAAAGUCCCACUUUGGUAGUUGAAAAUAAAAAGUAAGCUACUAAUGAUAAGUGUUGGUUAUCUUAGGAGUCGUUUACUGUGAGACAUAAGGUAUAAUAAUCUUAGGAACAAAAUGCGGGAUUAUUUUAUCUUGCGUUUGGUUAGAGGUAUUAGGCAGUCUUGGGAUUAUUUAUCCCAUCAUUUAGACCUUAGUGAUGGGAUAAGUUAUCUCAUAUACACGGUGGAAUAACUUAUAUCACGAUGAUUAAUUCCGGUAUAACUUGUUCUCAACCAAGUGACCCCUUAAUAGUAUGAGGCCUUUUAGGGAAACUGUACAUGUUUGUCCCAAAGUGGACAAUAUCACACAUGUUAAGUGUAUCUUUCAGUUGUUUAACCUAAUGACUACGAGACGAGUAGGGAGAUGACGUAGUGAUGGUGUAGGGACCAGCUCCGAAUUAGCCCAUGAAUGGUAAUGGAUCAUGUGGUACAUAGCUAAUGGGGGAAAUUGUUGUGUGUGUGUAAACAAAGUCCAUACUGGUAGCUAAAAAGAAACGUAAGCUACUUAUAAGUUGUUGAAUCCUCCUCUUGAUAUUGGUAACCUAGCCCAAAACCAUGAUCAUGGAAAAAAGUAUGGGGAUAGUCUUAAUGGCGUGAGGCCUUUUGGGAAAUCGUGCAGGCUUGGACCAAAGCACAAUAUCACACCAUGUUGAUGCUGAAAGUGGUUGAUACCGAAGAGCUCUUAAUGUUAUAUGAAUGUUUUGUAUAUGUCCAAAACUUCAAGAUUUUGUUUCAUAGUAAAUUGGAAUUGAGCUUAGUUGAGUUCAAUGCAGAGGAAGGUUUCUAUUGUGAACCCUGAAAGAAUUCCGUUUUUGAAUGUCUUCCACCUGAAAAUCUGAAAGACUUAUCUUUUACCUGAAACCGAAUAUUUUACCCUUGUCUUACUAAUCAUAAUUUUUAUAAUCGGUUGGACAAGGCUAAUAAACCCAUAGUGAACAGAGUUAUAGCGCAAUCAUAAUAUGAAGAGUUUUUACCAACUAGUUAAAGUAAUAUUCUUUACCUUUGUGUAGGCUGGCUCUGGAAUUGGUGGACUGCUCAGUGCAAUUCAUGGUUUCAAUACAGGCAUGAUUAAUUAAUCAUCUCUUCUGUGCUUAUCUUUGUUUCUUUAUUGUAUUACUCUCCUUAUAGUAAAUCGUGGUUGAAAUCUUAAACUAAAUACUUCCCUCUCUUUUAUCUAAUGAAUUCAUAGCUGAAGUCUUAAUGCUAGUACUUUUCAGGAAUUCCUUUUGUCCAGAGACACGUGAAGGGUCCAAAGUGGCUUCCAUUUGUUAUAGGGGUAGGCACUUAAUCCACUUUUCUGAUCUUAAACUCUUUUCUUUCUCUCUUCUUCCUAUUCAUUGUAUUCUUGAUUUUUGUGCUGUACUCAAAUCUAUGUAAAGUUGAGUAUACAAUUGAUAUGUUAUCUAAUGCUUCACCUUUCCCCUUGUUUUGUUCUUGCAGCUUCCUUCACUACUCAUGUUCUCUGCAGCUAGCGCGACAUUUGGAGGUAAUUCUAUGAAGUUCUAAUUUCAUUCUAAUCUUCAUUCUUUAAAUUUAGCAUGUGUUGUGUUAUAAAUUGAUGAUAAAGUUGCCAUGACACUCAACAUAUUAACUUUUUUUUUUUGAAAAGUAACCCUCAACAACAAUACUUCCCUAUGCACCAAUACUUAAAAGUUGGUAAUUUGAAGAUUAAUGCAAUAAUUACUUUCUAGGAUAUAUAUUGGGUAUCUUGUUUUUAGUUUACUUUCUCUAUCUUAAUAUAAUUGGAUAUCACUUUAUCCCAUCAGUAUUUUGAGUAUUCAAGAAAACAUAAUGUAUAAUCUUCUGUUUUACGCAAGUAUAUAAUUGUUGGUGAUAUUUUCACUCCCUGCUUAUCUACUUCUAAUGAACAUUGCUUUCAACUAUAUCCUGUAAAGAAUCAGAAUUUAUAAUGGAUGUGAAAAGAAUGUUCUAAUCAAAAAGACAUACCUUGAUCUGUUUCUUGUUGUACGUAGAGUAGAAUCACUUUUUUUUUUAAACUGGUGAGUAGAAUCACUUUGAUUCUUUAAACUUUAUGAAAACUGCUUUCGCUCCUGUUCAACCUUACUCCAGUUACUUUUUUGAUGGAAAUAACAUAUUUUUGGUGAGAGAUAUCACCAGUUCUUGAAAGGUCUUGUAUUUUCAUGUUCCAUCAAGUGAGAAGUUAACUAUCACAUAUAUCAGAAAUAACCCCUCUAGUGUUGAUCUGUCAUAUUUUAAAGGUGUACCUUAAUCGAUCAAAUAAGGUAAUUGUGGUAAUAAUAUAAUGUGGGCUCAGCAGGGUGACUUUUAUUUUAUUUUUGAAUGACUGAUGUCUAAACCCCACUUUGUAGUAGAGGUAAGGUCUAUCGGAAACAACCUCUCUACCUUGAGGUAGAGGUAAGAUUUGCAUACACUUUAUCCUCCCCAGACCCAACUUUAUGGGACUACACUGGGAAUGUUGUUAUGAUGAGUAUGACUGAUGUCUAAACCAGCACUAAGGAAGUGCUAUGACACUUGAUGGAAAAGUAGAUGAGCCUCACCUGGAAAUAAUUCUCGAAGAGAAGAAAAUGUUACAUCACACCUGUAGCUUCUGUGGCCAUGUGGUUGACAAUUUCAUUCUCAAAUCAUGUGAACUAACUAGCCACAAAAACUGCAAUCUAUGCACAUAAUAAAUUUAAGCACCUUUUCCUUCCUUACAGCUCAAUGUCAAAAGUGGAGUAGUCCACAAAUUUUGUGUCUUCUACAGUUUAGGUACCCGUUUUUUUUCUUAUAAGAAAAUUGCACAUGUUCUGGUACCCGUAUUUUGUUGAAUAUAUGCCAUAUAUUCGAACUUGUUAGUUUCAAAUCAUUGUUGAGCAAGCUUUCUGUUAUGCUAAGGUUAAUUGUCUUCUUCAAGAUAUGAGCAUCUUCUCUUCACGAUAAGAAAUGUUGAGCACUUGAAUAAGAGGCGUGGUCAGUGAACAAUAGUGUCAUGCCAGGCACAAUCAAGGAUCUGAAGAUUCAAAUACUUCUAAAUUUGGAGAAUUGUAGACAUAACUGACUUUACUAGACUUAGUUUUUUAGUUAUCGCUUUGUCGUACUUAUUCUUGGUACCAAGUUUAAACAAUAUACAGAGAAGGUCCAAAUAUACCCUUAUACUAUGCAAAAUUGAGCAGAUUUACCCCACAUUAGUACUUUAGUUCACUUAUGCCCUUACCGUCAAAUACUUGGUCCAAAUACUAUGCGCAAUUGAGCAGAAUAAGGGCGUAUUUGGACCAAGUAUUUGAUGUUAAGGCUUAUGCAAAUUGAAGUAUAAACGGAGGAAAAAUAUGCUCAAUUUCACAUAGUAUGAGGGUAUAUUUGGACCUUUCCAGAACAAUAUAUUGUAUCCAGGGGACAAGUUAGCUCAUAGGGUUGAUGCUAGUACUCUGCAGCAUAUGCGUGAAUUGGCUUGCUGAACUGAUCUUGCUUAGGGUGGGUGAAGAAGGGUAUCCAAUUGAAAUCUAUGCACUUCUUUUUCUAUUUUUUCUCUUAGAUGUGCUCGGCACCGAGCGCCCGGAGAUUGAUUGAAAAAGCAGGCCCUGCCUACCCUCUCUCCCUACUUGUCCCAAAGAAGUAUUUCUUCACUUUAUUUUUCAAAACUAGAAUUUCGUAUAUCAAUAAAUUAGGCUCUUUAUAAUAUUUUGAAGGAAUAAUUCAUGGGAAAGUGCCAUUUAAAGGAAAAUAAAGUAGCCACUCAUUUUUACAUUCACUGGAAAGUACUUUAAUGACAAUAAUCAAAGAUUUUUUUCCAUGCUUUAAUCUUAUUUAUGAAAGUAAUUUUCGAUGUGUAAAUGACCAGAUUUUGCAUUACAGGAUAUGCACUUCUAAGGUUUACUCAACUUACGAUGACUUCAUAUUACACUGCUUCAAGUGCCUCACAUUACAGAAUAUCAUUGCUUACCAGACGUAUUGAGGAGGCCCAUACUUCUAGUGUUCAACCUAAAAGACUCACCUGAUUGACUUGAGGUGCACAAAAUCAGAGCCAAACUUUACUUCAAAUUUUGCAACGAAUUAUAUAUAGUUGGAGCAACUGUCAAUUCAAAAGAUGCAUGUUCAUUGCUUUGGUGACUUCUCUUUUGAUAAAAUAUAUAGUUUUUACUUUGUAAUAAUAGGAAUGUUUAAACUUGGAAGAAAACACUUGAGCUUCUGUCAAAACUGGAUCUUGUAUCUAAGUGCUUUGUAUUAGAACAAAAUGCCUUGUCAUUGUUUGUAAAUUGGUACAUCCUCAUCGAUGCUAACUGUGACUAAAGAGCCCUUUAAUUUUUUUUUAGGUCGAGAGUUUUCUACCCCACAAAGGUACGGGUAAGAUGUGCAUACAUCCUACCUUCAGACUCGACUUGUGGAAUUACACUAGGUAUGUUGUUGUUGUAGUCACUUCUCUAUUACUAACUUUAUAUCUCCGAAGGCUGCAGGAGUGUGGGGUUAAAGAGAGAAUUUUAUGGCCUGACUUGCACAACAUGUUUUGGACCAAGUAUUUGACGCUAAGGGCAUUAGUGAUUUGAAGUAUUAACGGAGGGAAAAUAUGCUUAAUUUCGCAUAGUAUGAGGGUAUAUUUGGACCUUUCCCGAACAAUAUAUUGUAUCCCGAGGACAAGUUUGUGUUAGUACUACGCAGAAGAUGUGGCUAAUCGUCGUCAUUUAGAGACAAAGAAGCCAGAUGACAAGCUAGAUAUAUUGUAUCUAAUUUUGUUUCUACUUUCAAAUUAUAAAUCAACUUAUCGGAGAAAAGGCCUGCUUCCAGUUAUUAUUAUUUUAAGAUGGAAUGUAUGUAGGCUUGAAAGGCUCACUCUCUUUCCUUUGUGAAGACAUAUGUAAUAGUGCGUGUCUUGAAAAUACUUGGCCUCUCAGUAUGUGUGUUAUUUUAAAUGAAAAUUGUGCUAGCUUUCUUUUACCCAAUCCUAGAAGCUGAGUUUAUCACUGGGGUUGGAGACUGAGUUUGCAGUAGUUUAUAAAUUCUGGAAGCUUAGUCUUCCCUUAGCUCUUCAUUUGACCAAGUUAAUAAUCCCUCUUAGUGCUUUGUGGUUAACUAUGUUAUAAUUUUCCAGGUGAUUGAUAACGUUCAAGAAGAAACAAAAAGCCGUGUAGGUACUACUUUGGACUAUUAAUUAUCAGGAAUUGUUAUAACCAACUUCUAAUUAGCUAUUGGAUCAAUGUGGGGUUUGUUGAUUUUACAAAUACUGCCCUACUAGCCUAGAAUCAGUGUGAGAAAAUGGUCAAAUGACCCCUUAACGUAUAUCCGAAUUUUCAACUACACACUUAAACUUCACGGGAGUCCUAUCACCCCUCUGUACUGUUUAAAAUUGAAAUUAUUACCUCCUUAAAUGCUUAGCUGGCAUAGUGAGUGUAUUUCACUUUCUUUGGGAGUGUGAGUAUCAAAUAUAUUAUUAAAACUUUAUUUCUAAUCUCUUUUCAAUAAAUAUAUGCAUUUUUAAUUAUUUAUUUUUCUUAUUUGUUUUCUUUCUUCCCCAACAAUAUAAACAAAUCUCUCAAUUUUUCACCACCUCUAAGUCUUGCUGCCCAUCUUCACUGGAUUCACUAUUGUUGAUUCCAAACAAAUUUCAAACUCAUAUAAAACUCUUGCAAAAUAAAUCAACCUAAAUCAAUUGUAGAUAAGUUUACAUAUAUUUAUAUCACCCCAAGAUUCUUUGGAUUCGAUUUGAGAAAAAUCAAUAUGGGUUUACUUCAAAUCCAAUUGAACCCACCGAUUUUUAUUUUUUACUAAUAGAUCCUUUAAUUAUCAAUCUCAAAUCUCAAUCAAUCAACUAUAUCUCAAACAUUGUUGCUAUUAAUCUCGUUAAUUCAUCAAUCGUCGUAGAGCCAGUCUCUUUCUCUUCGAAAUUGUUGUCGCAAUCGAUGAUGAUGUGGAAGACAUCGUAGGCUCCUCCUCCUCAUCUUCCUUGAGAGGAUUACUUAUCUUCGGUGACCACCAUUAAUGGCAAUAUUUUUCCAUGUUCGUCUUCUCUCCCGCCUUCAUUUUUUUUAAACUUGAUUUUUAGGUUUUAAAUGAGCAAAACCCGAAUAUCUCUGGAUAAGCUCUGAAAUCAUUAUUCACCUUUCUUCCUUAAAGACCCAAUUUCAUGGACUUAUGGUGUUCUAGUAAUGGUGAAAGUACUUUGGGUGUGUGAAGGGAUGGGUAAGAAUAUAGAAGAAAAGGGUAAAUAAAUAUAUAAAAAAAAAAUUAAAAAUAUUUGAUGAGGUGUCAAACGCGUGAAACUCACAUGCCACCAUAGAUCUGGUUAUGUCCUUUUAAGGGUAUAAUUAUUUCAUCUUUAAACAGUUCAGGGGACUGAUAGGACUCCCGUGAAAUUUAAGUGUGUAGUUAAAAAUUCGAAUAUACGUUGAGGGGCAUUUGGCCAUUUUCUCUAUCAGUGUCUGAGCAUUCAGCUUAAUUAGUAUAUUUUUAAAUCCUUUUGCAGAUAGAAAACCACCUGGUAUCGGUGGACGAGGAAGGGGAAGAGGAGGUAGGGAUGAAGGUGCUGUUGGAAGACAGGCGAAAGACAUUGGGCGUGGAAUGGAAGAUGCAGGUGCCAAAGGCCGGGGCAAAGGAUGACCUGGUGCCAAGUCUGGUGGAAAAGGUAUGAAGUGUUCAAUAUGCAAGUUAUAAUGUAAUUUUAUUCUCGUUCUGCUAAAGCUUAUGUAUCCCUGAGUCUCAAUCCGCAGCGACCAUGUUCAACACUUGAAAUUAGUCUCCAUACAGCAAGUCUCUUUAUGUUGUAACAGUCCUCAAGUAUAUUUGUGAACGCAAUAUUUAUAUAGCCAUUUGCUAAUCAGAUGAUUCUGGAUGGUAUUUAUUGUACAGGUGGUGGCCGUGGACGUGGCUAAUCAUCGUCAUUUAGAGACAAAGAAGCCAGAUGACAAUCUAGAUAUAUUGUAUCUAAUUUUGUUUCUACUUUCAAAUUAUAAAGCAACUUACCGGAGAAAAGGCCUGCUUCCAGUUGUUAUUACUUUAAGAUGAAUGUAUGUAGGCUUGAAAUGCUCACUCUCUUUCCUUUCUGAUGACAUGUAAGAGUUCGUGUCUUGAAAAUAUUUGGCCCUCAGUAUGUGUGUUAUUUUAAAUGAAAACUGAGCUAGCUUUUUCUUUACCCAAUCCAAGAAGCUGGAUAUCUAGUUAAAGACGCCUUUCACUUUAUACUUAGAAUGUUAAAUAACACGAGUAAAUAUUUCUGUACUUAAGAUUAGGGAGGCAAACAUUUGGUUUUAUCUAUUAUUUUCCAAAAGAUAUGAUUAUUGCUUCUUUAUUUGUAGGUAGUGGCGUAGCCAAGAAUUUUAUUAAGGGGGUCCAAACUUUGAAUAGUAAUUUUAUUUUUAAUAAAUGAUGAUUAGAGAUUUUAUUUUUAAUAAUAUUGUGAUAUAAUUUGGGUAAAUUGGCCUCCUAUUUAUAGAGAAAAAAAAUCUUAUUCCAAAAGGAAAAUGUAUUAAAAUUUAAAAAAUCUUAUUCCACAAAGGAAAAAGGUAUUAAAAUAUAAGGAAAUCUUAUUCCACAUGGAAAAGGUAUGAAAAUUUAAGGAAAUAAUCCAAUUUUAAUUGAAAAAAAAUACUUAUUGGAGGUGAGUUUUGAACUUGGGUCAAUCAAGACAAGCAUAACACUAUUUACCACUAAGCUAGGGAAUCAAACUAGGGUGGAGAGUAGGUUUGCAACACCUCUAGCCAUCUCCAGUAUGGAUUACUUUGUUAUUUUAGGGUGUCCAAAAUACAAUAUAUAUCAAUAUAAAUCAAAACUUUACGUGUAUAUAUCAUAUUUUUCAACGAAGGGUGUCCAAUUGGACACCUUGAGGACAAGGUGGCUUCGCCCCUGUUUGUAGGUUUCAAGUAAUGCCAAAUUUGGAUGAGAUUUGGAAGUUCUAAACUUUUACGAUUAAAUCACACUUCCCUCUGAAAUGCAAGGUCAUUCAUUAGAAACAAAAAUCUCAAGGUUCAAGUUGAUGGAAAAUGUUCCAAGUUUUAUGUUUUCAUCAAUCAGUACUAGAUGAUAUAGAGCAGGAGAAUGUGUAGCUGAGAUUUUGCAGAAUGAGUAUUUUUAACAAGAAAAGCUUAGAAUGACAACAUUCUGAUGUGUCAUCACCGUAGCAAGACCCACAAACUUCUAAUCCAGAUCCUUUUGGUCCUUUUGGAAUGCAGGUUGACAUUUUGAACUUGAAGUAUAUAUUUCUUCCAUUAUAAUGGAUUGGUAUGAAUGUGAUGCUUGUUUAUGUAAUGGCCACCGCAGGAAUAUUUGCAGGUUUCUUCAAUGGCUGGUAUUACGAGGACCCUAAUAACACAUUGGUAUUUCAUUCAUCUCCUCCUCACUUUGAUAUGCUGCAGUCCAUUGUAUACAAAUAGUUAGAGGCGGAUUCAGGAUUUAAACAUUAUGGGCAGAGUUUGAAAUUCUACCACAACAGAUAGGUUACUGGGUUUCGAAAUUUGUACUUAUAUGGUGAAUUUCUUAGCACAAACAAAGUUACUUAUGCAGUACAUCUGCCUCUAGCCAUCUGCUUUCUGCAGCCAGUUGUCAAAACUUAAAUAGGCCAUACGACAAUUGUUGCUUCUGGUUUUGCUUACAAUCUCUGACAGAUAGGAUCGAAAAUAAGAAGUGAACUCAGUUCAAUGUUUUCUCCUGUAUGAGUUCAUAGUUGUGCAAGUAAAAUGAUUGAACUUACUCAACAUUUGCAGAUAUAUUGGAUCAAAAAGCACAUCUUCAUUGGAGUGUGGCAUUCAACAAGAGUGGGAACACUUCUUUAUGUCAUCUUUGCUGAGAUAUUGUUUUGGGCUAUUGUUGUUGGCCUACUUCAUCGAUUAGGCGUAUACUGGAAUCUUUAGUUCUGAUGAAAUUUGCCUCUUUUGCUUGAUUGUUAUCUUAAAGGAGUAAUUUCCCUAGAUAGUCACCCAUGUUUGGGAAAUUACCUAGUAAUAUCACUUAUGUUUGUUUUAGGACUACAAUAUCACCCAACUUUACAUAUUUUCCUCAAAAUAUACUUGACACAAAAAAACAUUAUCUCUCUCCUAAUGGGAUGCCAUGUCACUUUUUUUUAAUUUAUUAAUAAUAUCUUUUUUAAUUCUUUAAAUGUCUGUAGGCUCCUAAUACUAAGUAGUUUAGUUGUGGAAUGCCUACAUUAGGAAUUGAAGUGUUUGCGCCCCUGCUUGUAUGUAGUGUUUGCGCCCCUGUUGUGUGUCUAUUUAUUUCAAACAUUUAACCACCAUUAUAAAUCGAGGUUUAUUUUAAUACAAAGGAAAUAACAAUUUAGAUAGAUAAAGAAAAUAAUAGAUUGUUAAAAUACGAAAUUUGUGUUUCAAUUGCAUACUUAAACUUUUCACCCUUCAUUAAGUUAAGUACGAAAUUACAAUUUUAUUUUUGAAUUAAUUGUUGCAUAUAUAAUCGUAAAGCUAAAACCAUGUCGAUUCUCGCAAGAAAUCAAGAGCGGAGCUAACCUUCGGUUACACAUAAUUUAGUUAUAUUUACGAUUUUAAAAUUAUUAAAAAUAUAUAUAAAAUAUUGAUUUAGAACUCUCUACUUUAAAGAAGUAAAAUUUAAAACUUACAUGUAUGCUUAAAACUAGACACACGUGUCUAUGCUAACACGAGCCCAAUAUCUAUUAUUUUAAUUUAUGUGAUAUCGAUAGAAUUUAGAAAGUUGAUUAAAUUUUAAUAUGAUUUUAGAUAUUUUAAGUUGUUAGUUACUUUUUGUUUGCGCAAAUUUUAAUGUGAAGAGGUUCAUUAAGAUGUCCAUAAUUAAAGUAUUUUUCGUCAUCGAUCAUUGAUUUUAUACUCAAAGUAGCUACAAGCUUAAGAUAUUACCGACAUCCAAAAUAAUAAAGCUACAACUAAAGAAUAUGAAUUUAAAACUAAAAGAUAUAACUUAAAGAAUUAAAAAAAAAAUUAUUAAUAAAUUAAAAAAAUGUGACAUGGCAUCCCAUUAGGAGAGAGAUAAUUUUUUUUUUUUGUGUCAAGUAUAUUUUGAGAAAAAUAGGUAAAGUUGAGUGAUAUUGUAGUCCUAAAACAAACAUAGUGAUAUUACUAGGUAAUUUCCAACAUGGAUGACUAUCUAGGGAAAUUACUCUUAUCUUAAGAUAAGAUAUAACAUUGUAUGUACUUGAAACUAGAAAAAGCUUCAGCUAGACAUGAAUCUCAGUUUGAUUUCUCUGUGAUUAAGAAGUUCAAUACAUCUAGCAGAAUAAACGAACAAUACAGAUAAAGCUAUUCUUUUCCUAUUAUCAAUUCGGGGUGGGGCAUACAAAAAGUGCUUUGGAGCCCAAAUGAAAGGCGUAGAUCCAAUAGAAGAAUUUGGGGCAUAAGCCGUUUUAAAUUUGAUGUUUGGGGCAUUAUGUGCUAAAAUUCAAAAAAAUCUUGGACUUUGACUUAUAGAGUUUGAAAUAGAUACCUUAUGUAACGAAGUGGUAAACUAGGUAUCAUGAGAGAAUAUUAUUUAAUCAAUGGAAAAAGUUGAAAUUCGAACAACAAAAAUUGCAACAAAAAAAGUAUAGUUUUGCCUUUAAAAGUUUCAAACUUUUUUUUUUUAGUUAACUAGAUAUUAUUAUUAGCAAAGAAGCUUAAGUAACAUUACAAAAUAAGGGAAUAGUACUAAUCCCGUUAUAUAUUGUAGCAUUGGUUGCUAUGAAAUUACUAUUAUGAGUCAAAAUUUCCCUUGCAAACGUAGUUCCUAGUAUAUCUGCCCAAGCUUUGCGAACAUCAAAGCAACUUGCAAAACUCUUGUGCGAUCAAAUAAUUGCUUCUUGGCCCCUUUUCUUGGCUAAGAGGUCAACUACUUUGUUUUGUUAUGUUUUCUAUAGGUAUGUGAGAGUUUUGGAUCUUCCAAUAGUUACAUCAAUGAUCUGCAUUCAUGAAUUAUAGAGCUAUAAAAUUUGUUAUCAUUAUUAAUAAAAUGUAUUAUCUCGAUUAAGUUUGUGGAGAUUUCCAAAGACAUCAAGUUAUUAUCUUUUGCAAUCUAAGUCUCUGCAUAAGAGGUAAUAAUUUCAUUAGAGUAUUAAUACUACUUGAAAUACCCUUCAUAAAGCCUAGUAUCCAAUCACCUCUAUUAUUACGUAUAAGUCCUCCAAUACCCUCUGCACAAUGUUAGAGUUUCACCUUUAAAAGGUCAUGUAUUACAAUACAUUAUAUUGGAGUUCCACCAGGAGAAAAAAAUUUGGACUCCAAAGCAAUUUCUUGUUUUAGGUAAUGAUAUUUAUCUUUUAUCCAUUUUUUAAAAAUUUGCCCUAGGCUUUUUUGCUUUCUGGCGGGCCGAAAAGGUACUGGGCCAAUAAUGGGCCAGUACCAACAGCAUUGAGACGGCCCAUGUAACAAUAUUUUUCUUGGAGAAGAAGACUGCAAAUAUUGGCAUCCAAAAAGAAGAGAAUAUAAAGCUUUUCGACUGUACAAGCCUACACAGAUCGACUCCUUCUCACCAAUUUCUGCCCGGAAUCCCAUACAAACACAAUCUCUGUCGACGAUGGCAACGCCGAUGGCUGAGGAUAGCAACUUCGAAGAUGACCAGCUCCAUGCUAUGUCCACUGAAGAUAUUAUUAGGGCUUCACGCCUUCUUGACAAUGAAAUUCGAAUCAUAAAGGUUCCGAUCUCUCUUAUUUUACCCUAAUCACAGUUAUCAUGAGUUAUUUUGUGUUUGUUGAAUGUUUUGUUUUGUCUAUUUGUAUCAAUUUGGGGCUUUACCGAGGAGAUUGACUAAUUGACUUGAAUGGUGAAUUAUAGGAAGAGCUGCAGAGGACGAAUCUAGAGUUGGAUUCAUUCAAGGAGAAGAUAAAGGAGAACCAAGAAAAAAUUAAGCUCAAUAAGCAACUUCCUUACUUGGUCGGCAACAUUGUUGAGGUGAGUAAUUAGGUUUUCCUCAAAUUAGUAUCCCUCUUGCUUCGACGUCUAUUUUAGCAAGUGAUAUUUACACAAUAGGAAAAAAAGAAUUUUAUUUUUAGAAAAUGAAGCUCAAUAAGCAACUUCGUUAUCAGUUACUUGAUCGGCAACAAGUUGAGAUGAGUAAUUAGGUUUUCAUCAAUGAGUAUCUUUCUUGUUUUGACGCCUAUCUUUAGCAAGAGUGUAGUGCAGAGAGGGUUUAGGACGUCUUUGAAUAUUGGGAUUGACUACAUUGAACUUGAAGCCUGCUGUGCAGUAAGUUUAUGUACCACAUCAUGCUUUUUAUUGUGUAUUCAGCAUACAUUUCACAGGGCUUAUAUAUUCUUGGCUUUCAAAGAAUGUAUUUUUAUCCCCUCAUGAUGGCAGAGUAUAAUGAGUAACCCUUGUUGUAGGCAGGAACUUUAGAUUAUGGGAUAGUGACAAGUACCAAUAGUGCUAUUACAGAAGGUGUGUGGGUCUUUGGUUGCACAAAAAUAGGACGAGGAAUUUGGGUAAUUCAUUAGCAAUUGUUUCAUCAACAGGAAGAGUACUGUAACAUGCUAAAUUUUCAAUGCCAGAAGUAAGAUGUUAAGAAUUUACAAAAGUAAAAAAUGGAGGUUUCUGAGGGACUCAAAGGAACAGCUUCUUUGUGAUGAUAUCUCAAGUAUAAAAGAAUUGUUGGAUCGGUCCUUGCUCCUAGUCACUUUAUAAGUUGAUUUGAAACAUCUCUUGUGCUACGGCAAAAGAAUUUAGUAGUUCGCAACUUUUAGGAUGUGUUUCGGUACCUGACUAAAUAUAUAUAUCUUUUGUUUGGAAUAAUUUAAUGUCGCGAAAUAAUUUUCUCUAUAACACGGACUAUCGACGAACUAACAUUCUAAAGAUGCAUAUAUUGUUGUGGAUUUUAGUUGGAGCAUAUAUAUAUAUAUAUAUAUAUAUAUAUAUAUACACGGACUAUCAACAAACUAACAUUCUAAAGAUACAUAUUGUUGUUGAUUUUAUUUGAAGCAUUUUCUUGUUCAAUUAGUUGAAGAGUUCGCGGAAAAAUUAAUUGAAGUGUCAAUAUAUAUAUAUAUAUAUAUAUAUAUAUUUGGAAUAAUUUAAUGUCACGAAAUAAAUUUCUCUAUAACUCGGACUAUCGACAAACUAACAUUCUAAAGAUACAUAUAUUGUUGUUGAUUUUAUUUGAAGCAUUUUCUUGUUCAAUUAGUUGAAGAGUUCGCGGAAAAAUUAAUUGAAGUGUCAAUAUAUAUAUAUAUAUAUAUUUGGAAUAAUUUAAUGUCACGAAAUAAAUUUCUCUAUAACACGGGACUAUCAACAAACUAACAUUCUAAAAGAUACAUAUUGUUGUUGAUUUUAUUUGAAGCAUUUUCUUGUUCAAUUAGUUGAAGAGCUCGCGGAAAAAUUAAUUGAAGUGUCAAUAUAUAUAUAUAUAUAUAUAUUUUGGGAAAUAAUUUAAUGUCACGAAAUAAAUUUCUCUAUAACUCGGACUAUCGACAAACUAACAUUCUAAAGACUACAUAUAUUGUUGUUGAUUUAUUGAAGCAUUUCUUGUUCAAUUAGUUGAAGAGUUCGCGGAAAAAUUAAUUGAAGUGUCAAUAUAAGUAUAAAAACUGCAUUUUUGGGAGGGUAUAGAUGGGAAAAUAUGUAUCUCUAGUCCAUCCUCCUAUUUCUGUUUCUUUUUUUUUUUUUGUGAAGAAAGAAAAUAGGAGGAUGAUCAAGAGAAACAUAAUUGGGCAGGACAGAAGGAAAUGACCAUUAUGCUUCCUUUUCUUCAGUGCUUGAAUCUGUUUUUCAGUAGAUUGAGGUCUUAUGUUUCAUAACACAUUGAACUGUGAGGAUGCAAAUUUUGAAUUUCUUUGCGUUUUUGUUUUGGGGUAUUAGGAAUAUGGGUUCAUGGAAGUAGUAGUAGGGAAGUCUAGCUUUGAGGAACUCAUUUAUUUCCGGUCUUUUUCAGAUUUUGGAAAUGAAUCCUGAAGAAGAAGCUGAGGAGGAUGGUGCAAAUAUUGAUCUCGACUCACAAAGGAAGGGCAAGUGUGUUGUACUGAAAACAUCCACGCGCCAGGUAAGGUGUCAAAUUAUAGGAUUACAUCAUUUGCUUCUAGGUGUUUAUUGUCGGUGUUACUAUCCAAAAUUCCCUUCAUCUAUUUCUCUUGAAUGGAAUUGGUGAUCUUGUGCUUUAUCCUUCUACCACAUCUUUUUUGGGUUAUACACUGUUUAGAUGCUAAAGUUCUUUUACUAAUUGAAUUCUUUUAUUGCCAUUUGUAGACAAUUUUCUUGCCUGUUGUUGGUCUUGUUGAUCCUGACAACUUAAAACCUGGUGAUCUGGUUGGAGUAAAUAAAGACAGUUAUUUGAUAUUGGACACCUUGCCAUCUGAAUAUGAUUCUCGGGUAAAGGCAAUGGAAGUUGAUGAAAAGCCAACUGAAGACUACAAUGAUAUUGGAGGCUUGGAGAAACAGAUUCAAGAACUUGUUGAGGCAAUUGUGCUGCCUAUGACACACCAAGAACGGUUCCAGAAAUUAGGUGUUCGUCCCCCAAAGGGAGUCCUUUUGUAUGGGCCUCCUGGGACUGGGAAAACCCUGAUGGCUAGAGCCUGUGCUGCACAAACAAAUGCUACUUUUCUUAAGCUAGCGGGACCUCAGCUUGUGCAGGUAGAUCAUCUUCGACGUUUGAUCCUAUUGUGAUUAGUUGCACUAGAUUUGUACGAAAUUGAACUCUCUUUUGCUCUAUGGUGGGAACCUAGUUUUCCCUCUUUUCAUUGUUCCUGGCAAUUCUAACUAAGAGCUGCUGCAAAGUACACUUGUCUUUUUUUAAGUACAUAUAUUAAAAUUUUAAUAUAUAAGAUGGGUCUCUACUUGAAUAUGUAUGAAACCGGAGGAUUAAUCUAGAGAAAAUGAUAAAAAUGGUCCUUUAUAUCUGGGGUUAGCUCUAAAAUCAUCCUUCUUAUUUACCACUGAACAUGUGUAGUCCUUUAACUUUACCAAAAGGGAGCGUUGGUGGUCUCUGUUUAGUUUUAGGUAAACAGCUCUAACAGACCCUGUGUUAAUCGUCUUCAAAAGCGAAAUUUUAGUUCUUGUUUUUAACUUAUGAUCGUGUAAUUAAGCGCGUAGUAGUUUAUUACAUUUGUUAGAAUAGGAAUAGGUUUAACCAAUCCUAUUAGAAUAGGAAUAGGUUUAUACAAUCCUAUUAGAAUAGGAAUAAGUUUAUACAAUCCUAUUAGAACAGGAAUAGGAAUAGAAAUAGAAAUAGGAAUACUAAAUAGUAUCCUACUUGGUAAAGGAUUGUAUUCUAGGGUCUAUAAAUAGGGUCUCAAUGUAAUAAUGUAAACAACAACAAUUCAAUAAUAUUCUUUUCCAAUAUUUCUCACAGUAACAACCUUUUCUUAGUUUGCCAACUAUAAGGAUACCCAUAUAUCAGUGAGAAACAGUCCUGUUUACUGCCUUUAGGUUUAAGAAGAAUAUGUAUCUCAUGGUAUGAAUUUCAGAAAUCUGCAAGAACAUGAGGUUAAAAGUUCUUGUUUUUUGGCUUAGAAGGUUUUACUUUCGCAACACACAGAAAACCCAUAUCCUGUUGCCUUUACUGUCGUCCACCCAUUCUGUGAAAGUUUGUCAUAACACUUUAAACAGGUUCUUCCUAAAAAUUUCUUUUCCAAUAUUUCUCACAACAUUAUUGUUUGGCUUUCUAAAGUUAGCAACCAACUACUGCAUGGGAACUUUUACAAUUUUCUUAAGUUGCAAUUUAAAGUAAUUGACUCAAAUAUGCUGCUGAUCAAUGCCUGUUCUAACUUUAGAUGUUCAUUGGAGAUGGAGCAAAGCUUGUUCGUGAUGCUUUCCAGCUGGCAAAAGAGAAAUCACCUUGCAUAAUUUUCAUUGAUGAGAUUGAUGCUAUAGGCACAAAGCGUUUUGAUAGGUACUAUAUCUUUGUUUUCCAUUGCUUAUAUAUGUGCUUAACCUUGCAUGCCCAUAAUAUCUUCAGUCUCGGUGCAUACUGGUUAAGGUCUUAAGGAGUAGCGUGUGCUUGCAAAAAAUGAAACUGAUGUGUGUGCUGAUUCUUCUCUUACUGCAUAUGUUGUUCUCUUGCAGCGAAGUUAGUGGGGAUCGAGAGGUCCAACGAACUAUGUUGGAGUUACUUAAUCAGCUUGAUGGUUUUAGCAGCGAUGAUCGGAUUAAGGUUCUGUUCUACUUAAACCCAUUAUAUAUACAUUUUUUUCUUACUUCGUGGUUCGUUGAUCACAAUAUUCUGUUCUUGUUGGUUUCUUGAUUUGAGCUACACAACUGCAAAACCUAAAAUAAAGUGAUCUUUGGUAUUCUGGUUUUUACAUUUUCAUGAAUUGUUUUGGUUUCUUUCCUUCACUUCAGGUGAUAGCAGCAACAAACAGAGCUGAUAUUUUGGAUCCUGCUUUGAUGCGAUCUGGUCGUUUGGAUCGUAAAAUUGAGUUCCCCCACCCCACAGAGGAAGCCAGGGCUCGGAUCCUGCAGGUGGGUAUUCUGCCAUAACAUAUAUCAUUUCUUUUCAUUCCCUUGCCUUGUUAGCUAACACGAAAUGAGUUCUUGAGUAUUUCGCUUUAACAUAUGAGGAUUCUUUGCUGGAACUACUGCAGAUCCAUUCCAGAAAGAUGAAUGUUAACCCAGAUGUUAACUUUGAAGAAUUGGCUCGGUCGACAGAUGAUUUUAAUGGGGCACAGUUGAAAGCUGUAUGUGUUGAGGCAGGCAUGCUAGCACUCCGUCGCGAUGCCACUGAGGUCUCUAUUCUCUAUUCUGCUUCCUGACGGUUACAUAAUUUUUGAACUCAUGAGUCACAAUGAGAUUUAGACUUUUACUUUGGUUUAAUCAAUAAUCUGUAUUAUAUAUAAAAACCUAAUUAAAUUGAACUGGCCUGUUAAGUCUGCCCUUUUUGCAGUUUAACGGUGAUUAAUACGGGUGAUGAUCUUGUAUUCCAUCACAAAAAAUGUGUUAUGAUCUCUAAUACCUUUCUCCAUAUGAUUAAGUUUGUGCUGUGAGAACUAAUCAACUGUGCGAAAAUAAAACCCCAUACUUUUUAUGGUUGGCAAGCUGGAUAGCACUAAUUCUGUCUCCAACCUCUUGCAGGUAACUCAUGAAGACUUCAAUGAAGGUAUCAUUCAAGUUCAAGCCAAGAAGAAAGCCAGCUUAAACUACUAUGCCUAAACUUGCUGCAGGUGCCAUGGCAAGCAGCUUUUAGCUUUUCAAAGUUGAACAUGGCUACUCCAUGCCACACCCCAAACCCCUUUCAGUAUCCCUCCUCUUCUUUCUUUCUGGCCCGGUAGGGGGUGGGGAUAGAAGCUUUGCACAUUAGCCUCUGUGCAAUUCUUGCUUGUUGAUUACUGAUAUCAAAGGUGUCUGGUAGUAUGUGGAUCUCUUCUUGAAUUUGUUCAUUUGUAUACUUUCCUGCUGUAUGACUUUAAUGACCUAGAAUAGCCUUGAGCUAUGUUGGCAAUUGAGAUUGGUUAAUUGGAACUUGAUCUUUAGUUUUGGACAAUAGCUACCCAAAAUAAUAUCCUGUCUUAUAUGUGUUUGUGACUGGGGAUGACUUAGUUGCAGCUCCAACCUUGUUUGUUGUGUUGUGGCACACCUGAACCUGAUAGGAAAAUUCACCAAAUUGGUCUAGUGAUACCAGCAAUCUUCUAAGAGGCUGGUUCCCAUACCCCUUUUUAUCAAGAGGGACUCAGACCUGUGUUUUGACCACCUAACCUCUAUAGGAGACUCUGGUUCUGGAGGUCACACAGACCAAACUAACCCUUAGUUCUUUGGUUUUUCUUAAUUAAAAUGCAAUGUUACAAUUAUUAUUAAUGUAUCGAAAAUGAGGCAAAAAAUUGUCAACCGUAGUAACAUGACUUGACGAGAAGGCAGGUUUACUAAUUUAAGCGCACAACUUUCCGCAAUAUCAAUUUUGCAGUACGAUUAUUAGUGACAUUGGUGGUGGUGUUAUGAAAGAAACCAGUUUUUUUGGGAAAAGUUUCUUCGAAUAACUGUCAUAUUGUAAUAUCGAAGUAAGAUGGACUUAUAUAUCAAGGGAGCAAAUUCCAGAUAAAAGAUUCUUUUAAAAGAACAAAAAUAAAUAUACCUAUUGAAGAAGGAAUCAAAUUGUUCUUGUUCCAUCUAAAACUAUUCUUAAACGUAAAAAAAAAAAAAAGACUUCUCAAGAAUAAAUAUAGGUUUCAAGGGUUAUACAUUUUCCCAAAAUUUGUCCAAUAUUGAUUACAUUAUACAUACUAGCAUUCAAAGAUUAAAUAAGCGUGUCAAUAUUUAACAUUGGGCACGGUUUUUCUUCUUUUUUUUUUCCUUGUCGGUGUCCACUAAUUGUAUUGAAGUCUGAUUAAUUCUCCUCGUUCCUUUUACCUAUGCCAUGAUGCUCAUGGACAGCCUAUCUCUAAUUGGAUUUCCUUAUCUUUCUUCUUCAAAUUACGAGUUGAGAUUUGGGGAGAGUGAAUAGGACAGGGUGGUGGAUGAUGUAAAGGAAGGGAAGGCUCAUCCCGUGCUACCUAUUUGAGGAAAGGGCUUCGUAUCUAAGAGUUUUGGAUUUGCGUUGUGUAAGACCCACACGGGGAAAGCGCUUUCUUGCUAAUAUUUUUUCAUAUUCAAGACUUGAAAUCAAGACUUCUAUUAAAAUUAUUGCUUACACUCUUGGUUCUAAUUCAUUUAACACACUUUCAACUUUAAUCCUCUCAAACAAAUGUCACAUUUUAUAAAAUUUCAAGAGAAUCUUUUAUUUUCUAAUUAACUAAUUUACUAAGGGGCCGUUUGGUUGCUGGUUAGAGUUAUGCAGGUAUUAGUAAUGCAAGUAUUAGUUAUGCAUGUAUUAGUAAUGCAGGUAUUAGUUAUGCAGAGUUUAAUAAUUUUUUUGGGUGUUGGUUUGUUAUAUUAAAAAUUAAUAAACAUUAUAUACUUUGUUAAAAAUAAAUUAUUUGUUAUUGUUAUAUCUUAGACCUUUCUUGCCGUUGUAUUUUUAUUUAUUUUCUACAUUUUGCUUAGGCAAUAUUUUGGACAGAAACUUAAAUGCCACAUUUUUCAACUUCCUCAUAUAGUUGAACCGAUGUAUAUAUAUGACACGUGUUAACACGGGACCAAUAUUGUAAUAGUUGAAACUUAUGGUUAUGCUAGUACAUAUAAUUCUGUGUACAUAUUACAAAAAUAGAUAAAUAUAAGUUAGCAUUUGAGCAACACCACAUACUAAUGCUAGAUAUUAUAUUUGGAGCCUUUACUUCAAUAAUCUAUAAUAUAGAAAUGAGGAAGUUUGUUUUUUUCUAUUUGAUGAAGGAGAUCAUAUUUACAAAAGUCUUGGCAAGAACUAGUGGAAGCUCCAGAGCUUACUUCAAGCAAUGUCAUUGAUAUGCACAUUGAUAGAUAUGGCUUACUUCCAAUGGCAAGAACCAUUACUUCCAACAAAACAAUCUAUUGUUGGACACUAUCCUCAACAAUUAUCGACAUAGACAAUAUCCUCAACAAUUUGAAUGUCUACUUAAUUUUCAAAAUAUAAUGGAGUACAUUCCCCACCUAGUGGGAUUUCACUGGGUAUGUUGUUGUUUGUUGUUGUAAUAAUGGAGUACAUUAAAUCUAAAUUUCAGUUUCGUCAUACUAAAUAAUUCAUUCAGUUACAAUUUUCACAUACUGCCAUAUCCUAAAAUUGAGAGUUCAUUUUUCAAGCAACAAAAUAGUGACAAAAUAAAUUUUAUAAGAUGAAGAAUACAACAAAUCUAACAUAUACCAUUGAGACAAACCUGAAAUUCUAGUACCGUUGCCUCACGGAAUCAAACUAGACCCACCUUCAUUAAACAUGAAAGAAACUUAUAUAAUUCAUUGUUAAAUUAUAUAAACUGGCACAUAAAACAUAGGCAAAAUAAAACUUAACUAUGCCAUGGUUAUACCUUACAAAGUAGCUACACCAAAAACCAUUCAAAGGUUUAAAGUUUAUCAUCAAUGAUCAGUCAUACCAUAGUGUAACGAUCAAGCUCAUUGAUGCUUAAAAAGCACUCCAUGAACUUUGUGUUGCUCCAGCUGAUACACUAGGUUCCCCUUGAGCAAUUUGAUCUUCUUUUUUUAGCUGGAGCAUCAUCUUCUUCGACAACAAUAAUAGGAAAUUCAAAACACAUGUUAUUAGCAACUUCUUGAGCUUCAAUUCUUUCUAUUUCUUGAACACCAACUUCUGGACCCCUCGGCAGAUUGUUUAGUAGCUCCAUCCUUGCGAAAUAUCUCUUCCCAAUCAGCAAAUAAUGGCCAUUUUUUAAAUGUCAUUGAUUUGGCAUAUGGAUCCACCUAAGAAAAAAAAGAAACAAGUAUAUGAAGUAACUGAUAAUAUUCCAAAGACAGAGAUUAUAAUUCAACCAAGAGAAAAUAUAACUAACUAGCUUUAGUUUGCUAAUAAUAUAAACAAUUGUAAAUCACCUUUAUGAAGUCAUCUCAAGCUUUUGGAUCGUCAACCAAGAUAGUUCCAUCGUUGUAUCGAAUUCCUAAGCCACUUCGACUUUUUACCAACGAUAGGAUCAUAUAAUACUUUUUCCACCCUCUUAUUUUUGAAAAACAUAUGUGGUAGAGCUUGCAAUCCACAAUUAGGAUGACAAACAAUCAUGUGUUGUUCAAGUUCCAUCAAAUAUCCAUGUUUAAAGGUUCCAUCAUCUUCUUUCCAAUCAUUAGCACACAACUUUUUUAAUCCAUCAACUAGAGUGAGUUCCUCUUCUUGAGUCCACACCCUUGCCCUUUUUUGAGACAUGUCAGACCUUCUUUUAGUGGGACUGCCAAUUUUAAUCUAUUAGAAUGUAAAAAAUCAUAAUUUAUACUAACUUAUGAUUCACUACAAAAGUAUACUAACUUAUUUUCACAUAUAUUGCAUUUGUCUCUCACCAAAUUUACAAGAGAAAAAAAAAACAAUAGUAUAAGAAGAAGACGAAAGCAUAAGAAAAGGCUAAGAUUUCAAAAAGUUUCUAACCUCAAAGAAAGAAUUUAGAUUGAGCGUUCUUCAAGAUUUGCCUCUUAGAAGAUAAUGAAAUUGUAGAUCUAUAAAAAUGCAUAUAAUGUAUCUGAUUGUAUUUAAUUAGAAGUAAUGAAGGGUCACCAUUAUCUAUCUACCAUACACAAUUGAAAUGGUCAGCAUUGGAGGUAAUAAAUUCAUCCAUCAUUUGGUUAGAAAUGGAAGAUUAAUGCAAUUCUAAGAAGUGAAUGACAAUUGAAUGGUAAUCAUGUUAUGGAUUCUGAAGUAAGACUUUGAGCAACUAAUGACACAAAUAGGCUUACCAGAUUUUAGAAUUGUUGGAAAACCAUUUGGACUAAAUUUCCAAGUUAAAACGUCUAAUUGCACAAACUUAAAACGAAAGCCUUGAAACCUAAACCAGACAUCCUACUAGACCAAAAAUUACCUUCUGGAUCUAACCGCGCUGGCGGAAUUCUCAUCCGAUCACUUUUACUAAGAAUAUUGACUGAAGUUGAACUUUGAGUAAAUUUCCAAGUUAAAACGCCUAAUUGCACAAACUCAAAAUAGAAGCCUCGAAAUCCAAACCAACCAUGCUACUAGACCAAAAAUGACCUUCCAAACCUAUCCGUGCUGACGGAAUUCUCAUCCGAUCACGUUUUACCAAGAAUAUUGAAUGUAGUCGAACUUUGACUAAAUUUCCAAGUUAAAACGCCUAAUUGCACAAACUCAAAAUGGGAGCCUCGAAACCCAAACCAACCAUCCUACUAGACUAAAAAUGACCUUCCAGAUCUAACUGCGCUAACGGAAUUCACAUCUGAUUACCUUUUACUAUGAAUAUUGACUGAAGUCGACCUUUGACUGAAUUUCCAAGUUAAAACACCUAAUUGCACAAACUCAAAAUGGAAGCCUCGAAACCCAAACCAACCAUCCUAUUAGACCAAAAAUGACCUCCAGACCUAACCACGCUGACGGAAUUCUCAUCUGAUCAUGUUUUACCAAGAAUAUUGAAUGUUGUCGAACUUUGACUAAAUUUCCAAGUUAAAAUGCCUAAUUACACAAACUCAAAAUGGGAGCCUCGAAACCCAAACCAACCAUCCUACUAGACUAAAAGUGACCUUUUGAAUCUGACCGCAUUGAUGAAAUUCUCAUACGAUCACAUUUUACUAAGAAUAUUGACUGAAGUAGAACUUUGACUAAAUUUCUAAGCUAAAACGCCUAAUUGCACAAACUCAAAAUGGAAGCCUCAAAACCCAAACCAACCAUCCUACUAGACCAAAAAUGACCUACCAUAUCUAACCGCGCUAACAAAAUUCUCAUCCGAUCAUGUUUUACCAAGAAUAUUGAUUGAAGUUGAACUUUGAGUAAAUUUCCAAGUUAAAAUGCCUAAUUGCACAAACUCAAAAUGGAAGCUUCGAAACGCAAACCAAACAUCCUACUAGACCAAAAAUGACUUUUUGGAGCUAACCGCGCUGACAAAAUUCUCAUAUGAUCACGUUAUACCAAUAAUAUUGACAUAAAUCAAACUUUAACUAAAUUUCAAAUAUCUUGGUAAAAUGUGACCAGAUGAGAAUUACGUCAUCUCGGUUAGCUCCGGAAGAUCAUUUUUAGUCUAGUAGGAUGAUUGGUUUGGGUUUUGAGGCAUCCAUUUUGAGUUUGUGCAAUUAGGCGUUUUAACAUGGAAAUUUAGUCAAAGUUUGACUUUAGUCAAUAUUCUUAGUAAAACGUGAUCGGAUGAAAAUUACAUCAGUGUGGUUAGAUCCGAAAGUUCAUUUUUGGUCUAGUAGGAUUUUUGGUUUGCAUUUUGAAGCUUCAAUUUUGAGUUUGUGCGAUUAGGCGUUUUAACUUGGAAAUUUUUUCAAAGUUCGACUUCAGUCAAUAUUCUUGGUAAAACGUGAUCGGAUGAUAAUUCCGUUAGUGCAAUUACAUCCGAAAGGUCAUUUUUGGUCUAGAAGGAUGGUUGGUUUGGGUUUCGAGGCUCCCAUUUUGAGUUUGUGCAAUUAGGCGUUUUAACUUGAAAAUUUAGUCAAAGUUCGACUACAUUCAAUAUUCUUGGUAAAACGUGAUCGGAUAAGAAUUCCAUCAGCGCGGUUAGGUCUGGAAGGUAAUUUUUGGUCUAGAAGGAUGGUUGGUUUAGGUUUCGAGGCUUUCAUUUUGAGUUUGUGCAAUUAUGCAUUUUAACUUGGAAAUUUAGGCAAAGUUCAACUUCAGUCAAUAUUUUUAGUAAAAAGUGAUCGGAUGAGAAUUUCGUUAGCGCGGUUAGAUCUGUAAGGUCAUUUUUGGUCUAGUAGGAUGAUUGGUUUGGGUUUCGAGGCUUUCAUUUUGAGUUUGUGCAAUUAGCCGUUUUAACUUGAAAAUUUAGUCAAAGAUCGACUUCAGUCAAUAUUCUUUAUAAAAAGUAAUCGGAUGAGAAUUCCUUCAGCUCAGUUAGAUCCGAAAGGUCAUUUUUGGUCUAGUAGGAUGGCUGGUUUGAGUUUCGAGGCUUUCGUUUUGAGUUUGUGCAAUUAGGCGUUUUAACUCAAAAAUUUACUCAAAGUUCGACUUCAGUCUAUAUUCUUGGUAAAAAGUGAUCGGAUGAGAAUUUCGUCAAUAUGGUUAGAUCCGGAAGGUCAUUUUGGUCUAGUAGGAUGGCUAGUUCGAGUAUCGAGGCUUUCAUUUGGAGUUUGUGUCAUUAGGCGUUUUAACUUGGAAAUUUAGUCCAUCUGGCAAGCCUAUUUGUGUCAUUAAUUAGUUGCUCAAAGUCUAACAUGAUUACCAUUCAAUUGUCAUUCACUCCUUAGAAUUGCAUGAAUCUUUCAUUACUAACCAAAGGACGGAUGGAUUUAUUACCUCCAAUGCUGACCAUCUCAAUUGUGUAUGGUAGAUAGAUAAUUGUGACCCUUCAUCACUUCUAAUUAAAUACAAUCAGAUACAUUAUGAGGAAUAGAUAACUGUUGUAGAUAGAUAGCUGUAACCUUUAUCAGAAUCACUUUAUUUCCAUUCUUUACUUGAAAGUGCAUUAGUUGCUCUUUAAAAUGUUAAUCUGUUACUUUCACCAACUAUCAAUCCAAAUCCUUGUCUUUGUCACAAUUACUAUAGUUUGUCUGCCACUUCCAACCUGGUAGUGCUGCAAUAAUGAUGUGAUAUUCUUUAAUUUAGAGCACCUCAACUACGUGACUAUACAAAUUAAGCUAAAUGAGAAAGCAUUCAUGAGGAAAUAAUUCACUCACACAUAAUUCAUUGUUAAAAUAUUAGACACAUCUUUAUUUAAAGUGAAUGAAACUUACAUAAUCCAUUGUUCAAUUACAAAAGCUGGCACAUACAACAAAGACAUACAAUUACAUUUUUUUCAAAAGAAGUCUCCUAUUUUUGUAACAUUAUCCUUCCAUGACAAACACCAAGCUUCAAAAGUUGAAUACCAGCCCCAAUAACAUAUAAUCACUUGACAAAAUAGCAUCUGAGUACUUUGUAUUUUUGACUGGAUCUUUGUGAUUACUCCAACUGCUGAAUAAUUUGCAAGAAAAGAAAAUUUCAAUACAGUCUCGGAGAAGAAGGAAUUAAAAACACCUUGGAGAAGAUGAACUUACCGUUUGGGUCAGCGUUUUGAGCAAUCUGAAGAGCAUCUGAGUUGGCUACUUACAAAAACACUAAUGUUGAACCAAAUCAUGCAUUUGUUAUACAAAAACAACUUACUUUAAGCACACAAUAUUCACAUAUAUGUACAUUUGUGGACAUUCUACUAGGUAACAAACAAUCCUAUUAAGGUUAAACCUUACAAAAUAGCUACACAAAAACCAUUCAGUGAUUUAAAGCUUAUCAUUAAUAAUCAUCCAUAUCAUAUUGUGAUGUUCAAGUUCACUGAUGCUUAAGAAGAAUUCCAUCAUCUAUAUAUCUUGAGUAAUUCCCAUUGUUGCCUGGACUCGUUCAUCUGAGUUGUAUAUUUCAAAUGCUGGGGAUCCAAUAAUAGAAAAUAUCUUACCACGAAUCUCAGAUAGAUCACGCUCUUCUAGCUUGUCAAUUAAAGAAGCCAUCCUUUUUAUCAUGACUUUCAGUGAAUUGUUUCAUCACCUCCAUCAAACCUCUAAGAACAGUCUUAUUAUCAUCUUCAGUUGUUUUUCUUUUUUUGCAUCUACCUUUUUCGUUGACUUUAGAAGAUGAUGCUUUAAAACUAUUACGUUGUUUCUGAGAUUGAUGGGUUUCACCUUUUUGAGUUAUGAAUGAACUUUGUGCUGCUCCAGUUGAUUCAUUAGGUUCAUCUUGAGCAGUAAAUGGACUUUAUUUUGCUCCAGUUGAUACAUUGGGUUCCUCUUGAGCAUCUUGAUCUUCUCUUGUGCCUGAAGCAUCAUCUACGUCGAUAACAACAAUAGGAAAUCCCACAGAUGUGCCAUUAGUAAUUUAUUGAGCUUCAAUUCUUUCUAUUUCUUCAACAUCAUCUUCUGGCCCUUCGGCAAACUUUCCAGUAGCUCUAUCCUUGCCAAAUAUCUCUUCCCAAUCAGCAAAUAAUGGCCCUUUUUUUAAGUUCAUUGACUUGACAUUUGGAUCAACCUAAGAAAAUAAAGAACAAGUACAUGAAGUAAUUGAAAAUAUUCCACAUACAAAGAUCCAUUAACCAAGAGAAAAUAUAAGUAAGUAGCAAUUCCCUAAUGAUUUAAAAUAAAUAUAAAUCACUUUUAUCAAGUCAUCCCAAGCUUUUGGAUCAUCAACUAAGAUACUUCCAUCACUAUAUUGGAAUCCUAAACCAGUUCGACUCUUUAGCAAUGAUAUUGUUGCAUAACUCUUUUUCCAUGCUCUUAUUUUAGAAUCAACUUGUGGUAGAGAUUUCAAUCCACAGUUAGAAUGACGAGCAUUUAUGUAGUGUUCCAAUUCCAUUAAACAUCCAUGUUUAAAGGUUCCAUUAUCUCUUUUCCAACCAUUAACACACAAUUCUUUUAAUCCAUUUACAAGAGUAAGUUCCUCUUCUGGAGUCCAUACCCGUCGAGAUGAAGGUGUUGAUUUUCUUGCCCUCUUUCUGGACGUGUUAGAUGUUGCAGCAGUAGAACUAGCCAUUUAAAUAUGUAAAAUUAUAAAUGAAAUCACAAGUAAUACUAAGUUACAACUUACAAGUAAAUUAUUUCAAUUAUAACCAAAUAAAUUAUAAUACAACUUGAUUGAUCUGGGAAAAAAAUAAUGUGAAGACAUAUAUACAAAUUCACUACUUAUAUUAAAAAAUAAUAGAUAUACAUUGAGAUUCACUAUUUGUCUGUACAGACAACAAUAUGAGACAUACAAAAGAUUGACCAUUCGUUUUCACAAAAUAAUAAAAGCUAUUACAUUUUACAGUGAGCGGAAAACCAAAAACAAAAGUGCAUAAGCACACCAAAAGUGACGACAUAGUUUAAAAUUAUAAAAAUUGAUUUCCCAAUCUUUCAUUCCACAUAGACUGAGCUAGUUCAUCCCUCCAAGUGGUUCACUCAUUAGAUGUUUCAAUUGUAUUAAUAUUGUCAUGUUCAUGUUGAUUCUCCAUGUGGAAUUCCAUUUCCAUAUCUAAUGGGUUAACUUUCAUCUCUCUUCGAAUGAAAUUGUGUAUCAAACAACAUGCACUAAUAAUUCUAUUGUGAUCCUUAACCGAGUACCACGAAGGACUUCUAAGAAUUUCCUAGCGUCCUUUUAAUAGUCCAAAUGCUCUUUCAAUAACAUUACACGCCCUAGCAUGCUUCAUAUUAAAGAGCACUUCUCGACAUCGAGGUGAUAGAUUGUCACCCUGCCAAUCAUUUAGCCAAUAUUUAUAUCCUCGGUACGGAAACAAAACCAUUUCCAUUUGUAUAUCCUCCAUCGCACAAAUAGUAGUUGCCUAAAAAUGUAAACAAUAAUAUAAUUACUUUAAAUAUUAUUCUAUUUUGAUGUAGUAGAAAUAGACAAGGGUCUGUCUAUUAUUUAGCAUACCUUGAGGUACUUUCAACCCAUUUCUUCGUACAACAACAUCUCGCAAUACGCGACCAUCAACGGUUGAUCCCUCCUAACCAGGUAAUACAUAAAUGAAGUUGAGAUUUCUAUCACAAACCCCCAAGACAUUAGUUGCUAUGUCUCCUUUUUGUGUUCUGUAUCUUGGCUUAUAUAUUGCUUCAACUCUAAUGAAAAUGUAAGUACCAUCCAAUGCACCAAGACAACCUUAUAAGAUAAAUUCAACUCUAAAUACUAAAGGACUAUUAAAAAUAAAAAUACUUUCACCAUAAUAUUUUAAGUUUGUUGUAGUAAAUCAAAUGUUAGAUUGAAAUUUACCUACCUUAAACCAUUUCCAUCGAUCAUCAGUAUCAUCUUCGAGCACCGGAUUAGGUUUAACAAGUAACACUGGAGUUAGUUUAGAAUAGUUCUUAGACAUUCAUUAAAGGCUCGACUUACACUCCACCCCGAUCUAAUAUAAUCAACUUUGACAGACCUGUUCUUCUCGUGAUGAGCCAAAAUAUUUAAGAACAUUGCUAAUUUUUCAGUACUCGACAUAUUUUUACUAUCAGUCAACCCUCUAAUAUUCUUGGCUAAGGAGGCUAAAAUGUGAAAGGCAUUUCUAUCCAUCCUAAGCUUGUCAAUACAUACAAUAUCAUUGUCACGAAUGAGAACAUUUAGAUGAGACAAGAUUUUAGGAAUUCUAGCACUCAUACAAUAUCGAAUGACCCGUCUAUUUCUAGAUUGGUUUCUUAAUAACAUGUUGUAAAUAGCCAUAAAAAAGCAAAUAAGGACAAUAUACGAAUGCACCACAAUCUCCUCGAGGAUCAUAAAGCAUUCAACAUCGCACAAUUGCUGAGAAUCCAUUUACACCUAUUUUCCAUUUAAAAAUUGCAAUAUCAUUAUCAAAUUGAAUCCAAAAGAAAAAAAGUAUCAAUCAUGUUACUUAACUAAUUAUUGUAGACACAUUGUGAUCAUAGGAAGGUAAUAGAUGGUUUCACACUAGAGUGUUCAAUUUUAUUAAAAAAAAAUGAAAAGUAACAUUGAAAAACAGGUAAAAUAUUUAUUUUUGUUUGGCUUCAAUAGCUAGAAUACUAAUACUAUUUUGUCGAACUGCAACUAACAUGUUCAUCUUUUGCAGUUUUAGAAGUUAAAACAACUAAACUUAAUGAACCCAUUUUUCAGAAAGCACGUUUUUGAACAAACAAAACAAAACCCACAUCAAAUUUGGGUGUACUAAAACAUCAACCUAACUAGAAAAUACUGAGAAGAUCUAGAAUUUCAUUCAUCUCUCAUCAGAUUAACAAGAGGAAAAACACAAAAAAGAGAAAAUAGGAGGAGGAGAAGAAGAAAAAAAACAAGAUCAGCCAAAUUUUGAGUUUCAGAACUUCUAACCUCAAAGAAAGAUCGCCAUAUUGAAAGUUUUUCAAUCUAUUUGCCGGAAAGAUGAAGAGCCAUUCUAGAUCUACGGAUAUGGAGAGAGGAUCUGAAUGUUUAUCUAAAAAGAAGUGGUGUAUAUUUGAUUGAGAGUGAAGGGCAAAAUUGUCAAUUUAUAUUUUUAUUCAAGUAUUAGUUAUUCAGGUAUAACUUAUUCCACUUUUACCCUGCAUAAAAUAAUACAUAGAUUGACUCAUAAUUUAAACAUGUAUUAGUUAUAUGGUUUUCUAAUUUUCUAACCAAACAUACUAUUAUGUGUGUUGAAUUUUAUACUUUGACAAAAAUAUACUACCAAACAUAAUAAAGCUUAUGCAACAUUUUAUAUCUGAAUAACUCAAUCCUUAUUCAGUAACCAACGGUUCCUAAAAAACUCUCACAUGAAUUAGAAUCAACAUAUUUUGAUUCUGGUUAGUAGCAUAAAAUGGUUGUGGGCUUGGGCAGUAGCGUAAAAUGGACUUCGCUCCUGUUGUGACAUGGUGCGGACUGCGGCGGCAUUCAGAACCCUACUCAAUUGGGAUAGGCAAUCACGUAAUUCCGGAUUGAAGUCGGGUUUAUUUGGUCAAUUUACCAAGCGCUCCAGCUAUAAAGACGCCGUACACCACCCAUAACCCUCCUUCUCGAGCCUUCACUGGUCCGUCGUUUUCUUCCUCUCUCUUCGUAUCAAUCAUCCCUUUUAGAGAGAGAAAGCAAAAGGCUAAUCUUCAACCAUGUUGGUUUAUCAGGAUCUCCUCACCGGUAAUCUUCUAUCCUUCUUCAGUUUUCUAGUUUUUUUCUCGUUUCUGUCACACUCUUUGUUAUAUUUUGUGUUAAAUUUUUGGUAGAAAGUUGUAAUAUUGAAGUUAGAGUAGUUUUGUUUCAGCACUCUGUUUAGCGAAUCUUUCUUGGAUGAUUGGCGCUUGUUGAUGAUUCCGCUUUUGUUUUAGCAAUUUUCUGUUUAUUUGUUGUGUGAUCUGAAGCUGUCAAUACGACCUGGUUGAUUUGUGACUGAUGUUACUGACUAUGUGGUCUGCAUAAAGGCCCUAAACUAUUAAGGCGGUGCAAUCUCUUUUUUCUUUUUUUAUUGGGAAUUAAGAACUAGAUCUACUAAUCUGGAUCUUAUAUUUUAACAGUCUUGUAGAGGAUUUGAUCUCAAUGUUUUUUACCUUGCUUUAUGAUAUAAUAUCAUAUAUAAGAGCCGUAUAUGAGUAAUUUGGAUCCGUAAAGUUACAUUGGUUGCUUCUAGUUUAGCUAGACUUGUGCCUUGUGUUAUUUAGGAAAUCCUAGUUUUAUGUAUCCGGUUACUGCAAAUUUAUGUAACAAACGCAAAAAGAUGUCUUUUGCAAGGUCCCAAAAGUUGGAGGUCUCAAGUUCGAAACCUCUUGCCAGCAAAAGCAACGAGUUUGCCUUCUGGGUUGAGCAUCGGGCAUGUCUAGUGUGGGCUACCUCUCGUGUGGUGGUUUGGGAUCUAUUGAUUAGGAGUGGGGUGGGUAGCGGUUGUGGGUUUCCCUUGUCAUAUAAAAAAUAGUUCUGGUCCAAUGAAACAUCUUGAAGGCUAUUUGAGUUACAGUAAUCAUAAUUUAAUCCAUUAAAGUAUUUAUUGUUAUGUGCACCUUCAAGUUGCUGUCUCUGUUUGAUAUGCGAAAAUUCACUAUUCAUAGCUUGUUUGUAACUCUGUCUUUGGACAUACUGUUGUUUGUGACUGUGGCUUUAAGAUUUUUGUUUAUGGCCCUUUCUUGGUAUGGUGCUGUUCUUGAAAACUUAAAGCUCUUCAAAAAAAAUAUUGCAGGUGAUGAGCUUCUCUCAGACUCAUUUCCCUACAAAGAAAUCCAGAAUGGAAUGCUUUGGGAAGUUCAAGGGAAGGUAGGGUCUCCAGUUAAUUAUUGCUCCCAAAAUUUCCUUAUAUUAGCAACCAAAUUUUUGUGGACUAUCUAUCUAGUCUAUGUAAAAAGAGAUAAUGUGAUGUGUUGGUUACAUUACAGUGGGUUGUUCAAGGUGCCGUUGAUGUAAACAUUGGGGCAAAUCCUUCUGCUGAGGGUGGAGGUGAAGAUGAAGGUGUGGAUGACCAAGCUGUCAAGGUUGUCGAUAUUGUUGACACUUUCAGACUUCAGGUUUGUAUACAUAGUUAUGGAAAUUUGAGUCAAUUUUAACAUACCUGUUAAUUAUAUGUGAAUAAAUAACGGUUUGCUAUUUGCAGGAGCAACCUGCUUUCGACAAGAAACAAUUUGUUACCUACAUUAAGAGAUACAUCAAGAACCUGACACCCAAGCUAGAAGGAGAAGCACAAGAAGCAUUUAAAAAGAACAUUGAAUCAGCAACUAAGUUCCUUUUGUCAAAGCUCAAGGACUUUCAAUUGUAUGUCCAUUUUCAUAUCAGUUUAUGACGUUGUCUAAGCUAAUUCCUUACCGAAGUUGAAUGCGUUUUGUUUUUCCUUCUACAUACUUGGCACCUUGAAAUAGAAACUGAUACUAUGUGUGUGCUGGCAGCUUUGUUGGUGAGGGCAUGCAUGACGACAGUGCCCUGGUGUUCGCAUACUACAAGGAUGGUUCAGCUGAUCCUACCUUUUUGUACCUUGCACCUGGCUUGAAGGAGAUCAAGUGCUAGAUGUCUGGUGGAGUGCUUCUGCUAGAAGUUUUGCAUUGGAGUUUAUGUUUCAUGUAGUUUCAAUAUCUGGUCCUAUUUGCUAAUUUGUGUUUGUUUCUUCUAAACCUUGGUACUCGUUGUAACCAGUACCUGCAGUUUUUCUUCAUUAUAAAAUCUUAUUAUGUGGGACAGCAAAUGACCCUCUGAUUGAAUUGAAAGUGUUCUCUUCUAUUGAUUAGCAAUUUUGUCUAUUUGAUUCAACUCUCUGAGGCCUUGCGAACUUGUCGCUCGUCUAGCUUUUAACAUAUAUUUGAUACGACCUGAACUUGUUGGUUCGUUGCUAAUAUAGCUUCUUUGCUUGUCAUUUGUUGUUGAAAAAAAUGGAUGCCUAAAAGGAAAGGUCGAUGCUUCAUAAUUAUAUGGAUUGGGGAAUCAAGGUAUGUAAGCCUAAAAUUUAUUUUUCUGCCAAGGCUCGCCCACAUGUUUCCCUUGGAUGGAUGAAUGAAGUCUAUGUCAAACAUGCUAGAGAGGCUCAGUCGACCAAGAGAGGUGGUCACGUGUUCACUUAUCAUUUGAUUAAUGUGUUCUCGUGCACAAGAUUGGUUUUGGUGACUCUCACUUGUUUUAUGCUUGAUACAGCAAAGCCGACCCUCAUGUGUUUAAGCCCUCGUGUACAAUAGGUGUUAUGAGAUUGGUUGCAUAUGCAAUUAACAUUCAUAAGUGAUUGGUUAGCAAUAUAUCAGAAUUCAUGUAUCAAUAUUGCCCUCGAGAAUUAAUUAUUCAGUCGGUCAGUUGAAUCUAUAUAAGACACAAGAAUCCAAAGGCAAUAAUAAUAUUAAUAAUAUAUCAUGUAAUGAACAAUCUUAAGACGUGUAUAACGAGCUAAGAAAGACAUGAGUUAUGGUAUCAUAUCUUACAUGUGCUCGUCAUAUGUUGUUCUAUCAGAUAUACGAGUACGUGUUGUAUAUAUACUUGUAUAGUUGGUGAGCUCUACUUCUACCUGGACUUAAACUGUGUCUAGUGCUAUUUUAUUGUACAUAUGCUUACAAAGUAUGGGUAUAUCGAGACCUAUCCCACCCAUAUAACGGUUGUUUAGUUUCAUAUUUUAGUAGAGAUUUCGUCACUUGUCACAUUAGACAUGUGUUUCAAUUAGGCCGAUUGGCCUCCAUCUCUGUAUAAACAAUUUUUUGUCAGUUACAUCGCUUGUUCACAAAUCACAUGUUAUAUCACGUGUUAUGAUCCAUCUGUAAAAUACAUCUUCAUACGGUUCUUAUCCGCCUCAUCCAGGCUUGUGCCCUGGUACUUAAUAAGUUGAUUAACAUUUCAUUUAGGGGUUUUGUCAUUUUAUAAAGGGGAACUUUCACAUAUAGCCACUCAAAAAUAGCCCAAUUACUCUCCAUAGCUAUAGUUUGAUAAUUACAAUUUGUAUCUACAUGUUAUAGGGAGGAGAGAGCCGAGCGAGACUGGGAGAGAGAGAGAGAGGGGGCAAAGAGUGGGAGAAAGGUGAAUUGCAUAUGUAUAUAGGUUAGAUAAUUAUAUAUUAUACAUAUGUAUUUGUAUUUAUGGCAAGCAAGAUUGGGAGAGGGAGGAGAGAGGCAAGCGAGAGAGGGCAAAGAGUGGGAGAGAGGUGAAUUGUAUAUGUAUAUAGGUUAGAUAAUUGUAUAUUAUACAUAUGCAUUUGUAUAUAUGGCGAGCGAGAUUGGGAGAGGGAGGAGAGAGGCGAGCGAGAGAGGGCAGAGAGUGGGAAAGAGGCGAAUUGUAUAUGUAUAUAGGUUAGAUAAUUGUAUAUUAUACAUAUGUAUCUGUAUAUUCUAGCGAAUUAUACAUAUACAAACAUGGCUAAUUAUACAAACUCGAAGUCAGCCCGCGUAAUUAAUGUAUAAUGUUAGUCGUGAGUGGUAAUUAUAGCAAAUUAUAGCUAUAAUGAGUAAUUAAAUAGUAUAAAUUUACUUAACCGCGUAAUUUUCCCUUUUAUAAAUGUAUACAAAUAUAAUAAUAUAAUUAUUAUUAUUAUUAUUAUUAUUAUUUGUGUGAAAGAGGACCAAAAUUGUUUUUAUACGAUUAACGAAAAAUCUAUUUUGUAUAGUUCAAGAAUAUUUUUUUGCAUUUUUCAGUUUUUCUUAAAUAAUAAUUCCAAUUCACAGUUUUUCUUAAAUAAUAAUUCCAAUUCACAUUGUCUUUCAUUUUUCACCUACCUCACAAAGCACUCAUUCAUGAAGAUGGUCCACAACUGCACAUACACCUAUUAACUUCGAAAAUUAUAUAUAUAUAAAUAUGUAUAUAUACGUUGAGAUAUGAUAUAUGUUUUAUUAGGCACUCAAAGAUACAAAAACUAUUUAGGUGUGUUGAUUUAAACAUUACAAAAGUUUAAAAAUAUUGAAUAAAAAAAAGAGAAUGACUAGUUUUGAACUUGAGACUUCAUGGUGCAAAAUGAACUUCAAAACCACCACUCCUCAAAGCAAAUUAUAUCUAAUAGAUUCAAUUUAGUUCAUAUUUAUACGUUAUUAUAUUAGUUUAGUAUUUUUAUGUUUAGUAAAAUUAUCAUACAAAUCAUCAUUGGGUGACAUAUUUUAACUAAUGUGUAUUAACCAUUAAUGGUGCACCCUUUGUCUUCAAAUCCUCGAUUCACCUCUCUCUCUCUAUAUAUAUAUAUAAAAGGACCUGAGCAUGAAUUCCCUCACAAAACGGAAACAUCACGAAUAGAUAUCAUAAUGAAAUCAGUCGAUCUCUUAAUUAUGAAGUUCUUUCGAAAAGUCAUUAUAUUUUGAUUUUUAAUUCUAAAGUCAUUGAACUAUAUGUUUAUUGUUGGGUUCGAAAGUGAUUAGGGCGUCAUGCGGAAGCUUACAAUUGCAAAUCAUAUGAUUAAAUCAGACAACAAAGAAAAGUAUCCUAAAGAAAUAUUAUUGAUAUGAUUUAGUCAAACGACCUACAUAUGAUAAAACUAAUAUUAAAAAACAUAUAGAUGUUUAGGAGAAAAUCUCCUCAUAAACAAGACUCUCUAAAUCAUUACAUUGUGAAUGUUAUUGUGUUUUUGAUAUGAGAAGGGGGGUGUUCAAUUUAUAGAUCUCCUAACUUUUCCUCUAAGGAAAGAAUAAACCAAAUAUAAAAUAUAUUUUUCUUUCAUGGUAAAAAUAUUUAUGGUAAUGUUUUGUCUUUUCUUUUAGGAAAAAACAAACUUCAAAUAAGAUAAGAAAAUCAGGGCAAAACCCUAACAAAUCUAAUCUUUUGGCUGAAUUUUCUUGACAAAACUUGAUAUGCCUUCUUCGUAUGCUUGAUAAUCUUGUUCUUCACAAAGUCUUCAUCACUGUUGCUUGCCAUGGUUAAAAAUAAGGUUUAAAAAGUAUGAGUUAAAAAUGGUUUUAAAAUAUUUCACUUUUAUUUUUAGAAAUUGCAACAACAAGAAUGUUGAAAAUAUGGUUGAAACUUCUUCUCCACAUGUAGGUAGACAAAAAUCUUCAUUAUCAUUAAAUUUGUUGCAAAUUGAUUUGAAACCACUUGAACCUGUCUUCACUCUUGUUCAACCAUUGAAUCAUGUGCUAUGAUACCACUUGUUGGGUUAUGAAGGUAAAUAGGAUGUCAUGUGAAAGCUUAUAAUUUGCAAAUCAUAUGACGAUAAAUUAGAUGACAACUUAAACUAUACUAAAAGACAUAAUAUUAAUUUAUGAUAGGACCAAUUGGCAUACAUAAUUAAGAACUAAUAAAAAGAAAAUAUUAAAACUGUUGAGAUAAAAAUCUCCACAUAAACAAAAUUCUUAAAAGUCUACAUUGUGGAUGUUAUUGUGUUCUACUAUGAGAAGAGAGGUCUUCAAUUUAUAGAUAUCCUAACUUUUCCUCUAAGGAAAAAAUAAACCAAAUAUGAAAAGUAAUGUUUUUUUCAUUUAGGAAAAAAUAAACUUCAAAUAAGGUAAGAAAAUCAUGACAAAACCCUAACAUUUUUUUCCCUCAAAAAGUCACUCAACUUUAAACUCAAAAUCUACUCAACGAUAUUUUAUAUACAAAGCCACUCAAUCUAUUUAGUUGAUUUUUUUCAUUAAAAUUUGUUAGAUAUAAGUAUUUAUUUAGAAUAAAAAAAUUUAAAAAUAAUUUUCUUUUUUAGAUUUAUGGGUUUUUGUGUAGUCUAUCUGAAGAUUGAUUUUGAUUUAUGGGUUUUUGUUACUGUUGAUUUAAAAAUUGUGAUGAUUCUUAGAAAUAGAUAUCUUUUUACUUCUUAGAAUUUUGACUUAAAAUAAAAAUUCUAUAUUAACAAAUUUUAAUUGAAAUAAUUAAUUAAAUAAAUUGAGUGAUUUAAUAAGUAAAAAUUUCUCGAUUAAAUAAAAGAAAGAGUGUAUUACACACACUAUUGAGGUGCAUUUCUCAAAUUAAUAAGUGAUAAUUUUUGUAUGAUACUCAUAAUCCCAAUAUUUAAGUAUGAAACUCAAAAAUAGAAAAUAAUUUAGGUGUAUUUUUUAUACUUAUCUCCUACUUUUAAUGUUUGGCAUUACCGCUAAAAACUGUUUAUUUUUAGAUGUACUUUUUUAAAAUGGCUUUUUUAAAAAGUGCAAUUUGUAUUUGACUAAUUCAUUUGAAAAGUGAUUUUAAAAGAAAAUUGUGUUUGACUAAUUUUAGAAAAAAAAAUGUGUUUAUGAGAGUCAAAUUACAAAAAAAGGUAAGUGUCAAUGUACUUUUAAUAUUAAGAUUAUUUUAUAGAGAGGAACUAUUUUAAAUAUCUAUUACAAAAAUUUUAAUUAAAAUAUACAUAUUUAAAUUUUCAAUUAAUAUUAUACAUAAAUGAAUAAAUAUUAAUAUAAUAUUAACAUGAUGGUUUAAUAUAAUUAAAAAUAUCAAGCAAAACAAAUUUAAAAAUCAUUCCACAAAUUAAACCACUAUAUAUGAAAAAUUCACCACAAAAAUAAAUAAAAAAUUUCAUAUUUUUAAUCCUACAAAAAUAUCGCUGUUACGUUUAUUUCUAAUUUUGUAAAAGAAAAUGUAAAAUAAUAUAUAAAAUAUAAAAUAAUAAUAUAUAAACAUAAAAUAAAAUAAAAUUUUAUUAUAUAAAAACUAAAAAAUAAAAAUAAAAUUCUUGAAUGAAACUUAAUCAAACUUAUCAGAUAUGCUAAUUAAUUAAUAAUUGAUAUAUUGAUAAAUAUGUGGAAAAAAUAUUUUAGUCUUAAAAAAAUAAUUUUCUAUUAUUUUUUUUCAAGAAGCAAAAUUUUUUAACUUCUUACCAACAUUCCGAACGAUAGAAAAAUUAUUUCUAAUUUAUUUAAAAACAUUUUUAAGAAUUUAUCAAACUCUUAAUUUUAAAAAAAUAAAAUUUUAGAGACAUUUUUGACGUUCCAACCGCCAUGUAAACGGGCUCUUAAUCAAGGUAAUUUUAAUCCACCCUGGUGCGGACUGCGGCGGCCGAACCCUACAAAAAAUGGGUCAUGUAACUACGUAAUUUUGAAAUUUAAGUCGGUUUAUUUUUAGAUUAUAAAUACCAAAUCCCACUCGGUUACAGCAAUCCCGAAUUCUCCGGUUAUAAAUACCCGUGUAACGCUCUCGAGCCUCCAUUAGAGUCUUUUUUCUUCCUCUCUCUUCUUAUUGUACUCCUCUUCCCUUUCAGAGAGAGAAAGCAAAAGGUUAAUCUGCCAUCAUGUUGGUUUAUCAAGAUCUCCUCACUGGUACUUUUUAAUCUUUGUGUUUCUUUACUUUUAUUGAAUGUCCGGUUCUGUUUUGAGCUCUUUUUUUCUUUUCUUUUUCUGGUUAUCGUUUUCCGUCAUUCUCUUGCUUAUGUUUUGUGUUAAUUUUAUGGUUGAAAAUUUGUGAUCUUGAGUUUGUUUCGGAUAGUAUUGUUUUAUUGGCUUGUAUCUGAUAUUGAUGGGUCAGUUUUUUGUUCUAAAGAUAAUGAAAUUUUGUAUGAAUUUUUGUUUCUUUGAUGCUUGAUAAGAUCUGGUUGAUUUAGCUGGUGUUACUGAAUGAUUUCCCGAGGUCCUAAGCUCUUAACGCUUCCUCUUUUUUUAUUUAUUGAUUAUUGGGGGAAUUAAGGAACUGGAUCUGAUCUGGAUUUUACGUUUCAACCCAUCGUAGGCGAUUUAAGCCCCAAAAUCUUUUACCUGUGAUCCUGAAUAAUGUGUAUGAGUGAUUUGGAUCCACGAGAUCUUAAUUUUUGUUGUUUCUUGUGUGAGCUGUGAGCAACACCUAAUUUACUCUACCUAUCUGUUUAUAGUGCAAAUUUUGUCAAUUUUAUGUAACAAACAUUAAAAGAUGUGUUCUUGCGCAAGCUCCAUAGAUCUGCAAAAAAUAAUAAUUGUGAAGGCAGUGGAUUCUAGUAAUUUCAGUAUCAAUUUGAACAUCUUAUAGUUUAUCUGGGCUACGGAAAUCAUAAAGAAAAUUAGAGUAUGCAGGCUUCUUUCUUCUUCUUUUUUCUGUUUGACCUCUGAUUCUUCUAUUGGUUAUCUAUAUUAUUGGUUGUUUGGUGCACCUCUGAGUUUCUUUAUAUGCACAAGUUCCCUAGUUUCUAGAGUGCUGUGUUACUGUGUUUUUGGACAAACUGUCGAGUUUUACCUUGCUUUCUGCACUCAAUCUCAAUGGUUUCCUAUAUAGCUCCGCGAUUUGGAUUCAUAGAGCAUGUAGGGUUUUUUCUGUUAUACGGACUUUGAAAGAGGACAUUCAGCUUGUAGGAAUUUUUGGUUUUCAUAUAUGGCCCCUUUAUGAUAUGUUACUACUUUUUAAAUUUAAAACACUUGAAAACAUAUUGCAGGUGAUGAGCUUCUCUCAGACUCAUUUCCCUACAAAGAAAUCCAGAAUGGAAUGCUUUGGGAAGUUCAAGGGAAGGUAGGGUCUCCAGUUAAUUAUUGCUCCCAAAUUUCCAUAUAUUAGCAACCAAAUUUUGGUGGCCUAACUAGUCUAUGUAAAAAGAAAUAAUGUGGUGUGUUGGUUACAUUACAGUGGGUUGUUCAAGGUGCCGUUGAUGUGAACAUUGGGGCAAAUCCUUCUGCUGAGGGUGGAGGUGAAGAUGAAGGUGUGGAUGAUCAAGCUGUCAAGGUUGUCGAUAUUGUUGACACUUUUAGACUUCAGGUUUGUAUACAUAGUUAUGGAAAUUUGAGUCAAUUUUAACAUACCUGUUAAUUAUAUGUGAAUAAAUAACGGUUUGCUAUUUGCAGGAGCAACCUGCUUUCGACAAGAAACAAUUUGUUACCUACAUUAAGAGAUACAUCAAGAACCUGACACCCAAGCUAGAAGGAGAAGCACAAGAAGCAUUUAAAAAGAACAUUGAAUCAGCAACUAAGUUCCUUUUGUCAAAGCUCAAGGACUUUCAAUUGUAUGUCCAUUUUCAUAUCAGUUUAUGACGUUGUCUAAGCUAAUUCCUUACCGAAGUUGAAUUGCGUUUUGUUUUCCUUCUUACAUACUUGGCACCUUGAAAUAGAAACUGAUACUAUGUGUGUGCUGGCAGCUUUGUUGGUGAGGGCAUGCAUGACGACAGUGCCCUGGUGUUCGCAUACUACAAGGAUGGUUCAGCUGAUCCUACCUUUUUGUACCUUGCACCUGGCUUGAAGGAGAUCAAGUGCUAGAUGUCUGGUGGAGUGCUUCUGCUAGAAGUUUUGCAUUGGAGUUUAUGUUUCAUGUAGUUUUAAUAUUUGGUCCUUUUUACUUAUUUAUGUCUCUGUUUCUUCUAAACCUUGGGUACUUGUUGUAACCAGUGCCUGCACUUUUUCUACAUUAUAUAGUUUUAUUGUUGUGGGAUAUCUAAUGAUCCUUGAUUGAAUUGGAAGUAGUCUUUUAUUGAUUUUCAAUUUUGCCUAUUCAAUGUGUUGGGAGAUAUUUCUAGGUCAGCUAUGUCUACUUUAUUGAACAAAGGGGAAAAAAAGUUCUCUUUGACUAGUGGUAGUGGAAUGCGAAUAUAAGAAUCAAAUUGUGUGAUGGAGAGAAUUUUGCGUGGGUGGUGGAAUUAUUUUUAUGUGAUAUUUACCUCUUACUCAAUGUCUCUGUUUUUAUGUAUUACUUAUUUGUUACUUUAGCUAUAUCUAUAAUUACUUCAAUUUUUCAUUUAAUCAUUAAUAAAUAUAUAAUGGAGUAUAUUCGUGCCUUUAAUCGAAUAUGCUGCUCGGUUCUUCUUUUUUUUUUGGCCCUACAGUUUAUUGGACAGAUGCAAGUUCGCAUACAUUAAAAUGGAAAAUCAUGGAUUAGUUUUCAACACAGAUUGAAAGAUUUAAAAUGUUAAAUUAUUAGUACAAGUUUCCAACAUAAAGUCCUCCUUUGAAGAUAAUAAGAGCCCACUUUGGGUGUGUUUAAUUAUAAGAAACUAUUUUUCAUAAAGAAAUCACUUUCUGGUAGCCUAUUUUUAUCUUUUAGGUUAUUAAUCUCACUUCUACUCUCUUUUUUCUAUCAACGGAACUCCAAUCAACUUAUUCAAGUUCAUCUCUGAAUUUUUUGUUUGUUCUUUGGUUUUUCCUUCUUCUUUUCAAGGAACCUUUUUUUAAAAAAAAAAG
Molecule: long non-coding RNA, 50223 nt
Filed under: Solanum tuberosum (potato)
Lineage: Eukaryota; Viridiplantae; Streptophyta; Magnoliopsida; Solanales; Solanaceae
Description: long non-coding RNA (STUB_LNC002292)
Rfam family: small nucleolar RNA snoR127 (bases 1915-2040)
Source: RNAcentral